UUUUUUAAUAAGAACAAAGAGAUUUCAACAAUUCAUACAACUUUUAUUAACCACAAAUAUGGCCCAAAUGGGUAUGUACAAUUUUGAUAUUGAACAUGAGGCUAUAAUGGCUUCUGUAAGAAAUACAUUAGAACAUCAUCACCAAGCUCCAAAAAACCACCAUAUGUUGUAGACUUGUCUCUAUGCUAAACAUGGUGUCUUGGUUUCCAACUGGAUGUUAUCACACAUUUCAGAAGUGCAAACCUCUACUGCCUUAAUUGCCCUCGUAACAAUGAGCAUGACCUGCCCCACACAAAUUGCCGCAUCUGACAUCAAAUUUCAAGGGACUUCCAAAAGUUUCCUUUUUUGCUGUUGAACUUGAUAGCGUGUAGAACCCUAAACUAAGGUUGCAAUUGCUUUCUUUAUCUGAAGUUGAUUAACAACAUACAUAACCUGUCCCACACAAUGAAAUGCAAGAAUGAGCUAAUACCACUAAUCCAAUCCAAGUACCCAAGGAGUUUGAAAAACCAACAAACAAACUUUAUAAAGAUCAAACAAACGACAAAAUAUAGAUAAAUCUAACCUGCAGCAAGCAUUGGAUGAAUCUUCCUCUGGACUUGUUGGCAAAUUGAGUCAUUAUCCGUGGAAGAGGAAAAAGGAAGAGACAGUAGAGAAGAAUGUGAGAAAGUUUAUUUACGUUAGUUGAAUGUGGAAGCUGAGAAGAAUGUGAAACACUUCCCUUGAAAUCCAUACCUGUCAUAGAGUUGAUCCUUCGUACUCUUUACUUUCGUCCCUUGCUCAUGCUGAUGUACCUUACAGAAUAUGUUGAACUGAAUCCUGUCGUGCACCCUGUUGAAAUUUUACUAUGAACUUAGUACAUCUUGUUUUGAAAAUACCAAACUCAAUACCUUCCUUCAGCUCACUGCACUUCUCUAUAUUUAUUGAGACUGUUUUACUGAUUUGUUGACAUCAAAAGCUCUUCCAUUAAACGUAAAUUUGCUCCUAAUUGUCCAUAGAAACCGGAUUGUAGAAUAAGGUAGAAUACAUCACAUCUUAUGUUCAAGUUACCUGUUAAAAACAACAAACAUACAGCAAGUAAAACCUAAUCCUCCAAAAGCUUGACAUAAUAUAAAUCAAUUGGUUUUCUCAACAACUUAUCUGCAUGCAAGGUAAAUAGAGUGACACUAUUUAUUCACAAUAGCACACUCUAACUUGUAUAAACUUGCACAAUUUUUUUUGCUUAAAAAAACACAUUCUGUACUCUCUUUAUAUGGUGAGGUAAACAAAGCAAACUUACAAUUUAAACAAUAAAAAUUUCAAAUCAAUCACAUUUUUUCUUCAAGGGGGGUGGGGGGGGGGGGGAUCGAUGACAAUCAAAUCCCAUAAGCAACAACAUAAAUGAAUGAAACUAAGUUGAAUACUCCGCACUAACCCAAACUUAAUCAGAACAUCAUGAUUAGAAGCAUAAUCAAUUUCCACUACCACCAAUUGGCUAUCUGUCAAUUUUAAAGCACCUUGAAAAGGCAUGCUUAUAACAAUGAUAAAUUUGGAUAAAAGACAGAAAUUUGAAUAUCUAAGAUUUUGAAAAUGUUACCAAGAAGCGAAAACUAAAUCCUGGCAAUCCUUACUAAUAUUAAUAAGUACAAAUACCAAUUCUCAAGCUAAAAACGCCAAAUUCAUGCUUUAGAAAUUAGCAUUCAAUAGAUAAUCUAUAUUCCAUGAUCAACCUAAAUAAAGCGUAUUUUUAAAUCAAUAAUGGCCAACACAAAUUUGGAAAAUGUUCAAUGUUAAGAAUUGGAAAGGUGAGAUGACAUUAAGGUUAGUCUUAAAGAAAAAAAUUAGUCAUUACAAACCUGUUUCUUCUUUAAAUCUGCAUCAUCCAUGAAGGUUUGUUUGUUUUUUUUUUUUUUAUUAGAAGGAUCAUCCAUGGAAGUUAAAAAACCCUUACAGCUCCAAAUGUGACCUGCAACUUGUAAGCAAGUUUUGAAAAUAAAAAUCUCUCCAUAGGAAAAGAAUAAAAAGAAAAAAAAAUCAACUCCAAAAUAUAAUACCAAUCCCCUAAGAACAGAAACAGCAAACCGAGAUCUAGUUAGAUCUUCUUAGUUGUCACUUCUUCAUCCAGGUCCCCAUCCUCACCUGCAUCAAAGCUGAAUUGAUUUUGAUAAACUAAAAAAAACUAAAAAAACUAAAAUCAAAAGUUUCAAUGAACUAAGGCGAAUUUUAGGAAAAAUUAUUUCAAUCCAAUUUCUAAACAAUUCAACUUACCUGAGAGCUUCAAUUGAUUGAAAAUCUCUGUAACCAUUUGUAACCAAAAUGUCACACAACAACGAUUUAUUUUCAAUUGAUAGAGAACCUGCAAAAUUUAUCUUUUCUUAAACAAAACUUCUAGAAGUUAACAAACACAACACAAAAUGUACUAUAAAUUGAAGAGAUAGAUAGAAAGAAAACAUAGGAGAUGAAGGAUUGAGGAACAUAUAUUUGAUUCUAUUCUAGUCGGUUUCUUUGUGCGAUUGACUUUGCAUAAGCAUAAGGAAUACAAUUUUUGUGAUUGUGGAUGCUGAAUGCUGGAUACUUAAUGCUGGAUGCUGAACACUGAAUGCUGGAAAAGUUGUUUGGUUAUCAUUUUUAAGAAGUUCUGUUUUUGAUUUGUUUGUUUAUGCGUAAGUGUGAUUUUGACCAUGUUACCCUAUUAUUGGAAAAGUAUUUUGACAAUACACAGUACCUUAUCACAUAACCCAAAAACCUAAAGUUGAUUUGUACUCUGGUUGCGCAAGUUGACCAUUCAGUGUUGUGCUUCAGAUGAGAAUGUUUCACCCUUAGCCAAAAUAUUUGUGUAACUACACUAUAUUGUUACGUCAUACAAACAGAAAAAUUUUCUAACAACAAAACUAUACACGCCAAUUUUUCUUCUAAAACAUGAUAUUUAAAAAAAAAAUCUUAACCUUUUAAACGGCUCGUCUAAAAAUUCUAAAUUUUGGAUAUGGUACAACAGAAAUCGUCAUGAACAUAUGGAAAAUAUUUCAAAGUGAACAGACAAAGGAAAGAUCCCUUACUAAGCAAACGAAUCUGACUGUAAUUUUUCUUCUAAAACAUGACAAUCACAAAAAAAUCUGUAACUUUCAAACGACUCGUUUAAAAAUUCCAAAUUUUGGAUAUGAUACAAUAGAAAUCGUCAGGAACAUAUAGUAAAACUUUUAAAGUGAUCAGACAAAAGAAAGUCUCCUUAUUAAGCAAACGAAUCUGACUGUAACAUAAUUUUUCUUGUAAAACAUAACAACCACAAAAAAAUCUGUAACUUUCAAACCGAUCGUCUAAAAAUUCUAAAUUUUAGAUAUGAUAUAACAGAAAUCUUCAGGAACUUAUGGUAAGAAUUUCAAAGUGAUCAGACAAAGGAAAGGCCAUUAACGAAGCCAAUGAAUCUGACUGUGAUAUUACUUAAUGGUUAUGGAUGAUAAAAACAAUUUUUAUAAGGGUAGAAUUGUCUAAAUAAUACAACAAGCAUUAAGAAGUUAAAUUAAAGCUGGGCCAAAAUCGCUGAAAUAUCCCAAUUAGUUCUUAAUGCUUGUUCUAAAGAAACAACUUAAAAAACACUUAUUUCUAAAUUUUAACAUGGUCCACCACUUAAGAAGCACUUAAUGCUUAAUGAAACAAACACUACCUCAGUUUGAUGACUUUGAACAACUGUUGUCGCUGAAUCUGAGUAACAAAAUUAUGCUGUCGAAGGUGGAAAAACUGAAAUUAAAAGUCAAACCUAGUGAAAUAUUCCUGCAAGAGUAAUAAAAUUAAAUAUUAAAAUUCUAAACGUUCAUCCCCAAAUCAGUCAGGAACACAACUAAAUAAGAAGCCUUAACAAAAACCAAACGGGAAAACACAAACCUGAUCAAUCGAAGAACCCAUCUACAUGAUGAUCUUUAAUUGAUUAUUGAUUAAGUAGUAAUUCCAAAACCAGUUGGGGAGAAGAAUAGAACGAAAUAUCCAAAUUGAAAGAACUUUCACUAUUAUUAUUAUUAUUAUUCAUUUUGAAACAAAACCCAAUUAAAUGAAGCUAUAAAUCUUCACAUACCUAAAAACUUCCAUGCGCCAAACCAGAGAAACAAAUAACGUUCGGUCUCUGUAAAUUUAGAGAUGAGUCGGUUGGGGAGAGAGACACGUGUAAGAAUUUUAGGUCGUUUGAGUUUGACUGUUCUUCUGUUUUGCAGAAUGACUGUGUUAAAGCAGAAAACUACAUUGCAAGAAAAGGGACACGUGGAUAGGCUGAAGGAGAUUUCCUGGACGGGGAGAGCACCCACGUGUCGAACCGUGCUCACUCUGCUUCAGGCUUCUUAUAAGGUAAAGAUUAUUAAGCAUAAGCAUAGCACGAAGUAUAAAGGGGCAUUCAAGUCUUUUCGCCCAUGAAUCCAGUUUACAUGAUACACCGCCAGAUAAACAAAAAGAGUCCAAAGGCUUCAAGAUGUCUAACUGGGACAAAAAAGAGUAAUACUGUACGUAUAAAAGUCGAUUGAAUUCUCUCUUUGUGACCUUAAAUUUGGUGAGAUCGAGUGCAUGUCAGAGUUGGUGGUGUUCGUUCAAGUAAUUCAUCUGAUUUGUUGGUUUUGUUUUUGUUUUUUUUUUUUACUUCUGCAAUAAAAUUUAGGAUUAAAGAGGGUAUGGAAAAUUUACAAGUAAAGAAAAUAAUUACUGGAGAAACAGCACUAAGCGCCACAACAACAACAAGAGUAGUGAAUUAUCUUCCUUGGGAGACAAUAUUUGAAAUUUUGUUGAGACUUCCCGUACGAUCACUGAUUGAAUGCAAGUUAGUGUGUAAGACCUGGUAUGCCAUUAUCAAGGACCCUCGAUUCAUUGACUUGCACCUUAGCCAAUCUAUAGCUCGACAUUAUGUACUAUUAACCUGGAUUCUGCAGGAUACUAAACCUACACUUCAAAUCCAUUCUUUAGUUGAAGAAGAAGAAUACAAGUGGAGGGCUUCCCUUUUCGACAUGGGGCUGACAUAUAAUAAUGUUUUUCCUUCUUUUUUCAUUUCUGGUUCUUGCAAUGGUUUGCUCUGCUUAUCUGCAGGUGAUGAUUUUUUAGAUCCUCUGUUCAUAUGCAAUUUAUUUACUCGAGAAUAUGUGAAGCUGCCAGACACUACCCAACCACUCACUGUUAUCGAACCGUUUACACAAGAAGAAAUUAUUUUGUCCAAAACAGGCCCUCUUUUUGAUCUAUUACAUCAAGAAAUUGGCUUUGGCUAUGAUCCCAAUAGCAAGAGAUACAAAUUGGUGAGGGUAUUUCAGAUUGCUCUUAGGAUUGGUAAUUCUGACGAAAUCAUGGAUCCAUAUGGUGAGAUCAUGACAGUGGGUGACAACGUGUGGAGAGCAUUUGAAUUUCCGCAUCCAAUAGUAAUGAGUACUCAGCUUGAGACACUAGUGUUCGAGGGGUCAUUUUAUUGGUUCAUUCGACACGUAUAUGGUGAACCCUGUCUCUAUGAUAUCCUUGCAUUUGACUUUGCUGAUGAGAAAUUUAGUACCCUUAAAUUUCCACCUUACAUGGAGAUGGAGAUAGAAAUGGACGACAUCUAUCCUGUUUUAAUGAACCAUAGAGGUUUGCUGACAUUGCUUGCUCAGAAUGAUCGCCAGGAUAUUAUUAGUAUAUGGCAAAUGAUGGAUAAUGGUUGGACCUGUCAGCAUACAAUGAUUGAAAGUUUUUCUGAUCUAACUGUGGACAUAAAUGGCAAAAUACUUCUACCAGGAUACUCACUAAAACAUUCACAUCGUGCUCUCUUUCUCUACGACACUGAAAAGAAACAAGCCUUCAAACUUGUGAUAUCUGAACGUCCAAGGUAUAUUUAUCAAAUAAGUUCUUUUGUUCCAAGUUUGGUUUCCCCCAAAGAUAUUAUGAAUUCCAACUCUCACUUAGAUAAAAGGUAGGUUACUAGGUUGUCAGACCAGCAUUGGUUUAUUUCUCUUACAAUAACACUGCGGAUUUAUGUAAUGAUUAAAUCUCGUUGAAUAUUGUUUAACAAUUCCAGUGUGUUACUUGAUUCAUAGUGAUGAAUGUGUUAUGAAUUUUACUUUUUCUGCUUUAUGUUUUGCUUUGUGAUAAGAAUGAAACAUGGGGCUUCGAAUUACUGUAAUGACACUAGAUUGGUAGAUUUGUGUUAAUCUUGGUUAGACUAGGGUAACACUCAUUUAGGAGCAUUAAAGAAAGUUUUGUCUAUAUUAUGAUAUUAUGAUGAAAGGUUGUUGAGACUUGAAACGUCUGGUCAUGUGAAACCAUCAGCCGACAAAUUCAUCUAAAUUCAACUAUCGUAAACCUUGACAGAAGAUGUUGAAUUGUUGUGCGCAGCGAAAACUUAUGCACCAAUACCUAAGAUUGAAAUAGUGUAUGAAUUAAAUAAAAAAAAAAAUAGAGAAGAUGAAACUACUGCUACUACCAAACAAAACCUACACAAAACACAAGAUUUACGUGGUUCGGCUAAUAUUGCCUACGUCCACGGACAAACAAAUAAUCUUUUCUUAUAGAGAUGAUUAUACAAGCCCUCACGAAGAAACCAAAGUGUUUUUCUUCACAAAAGUUCUCUCAAACUCUCUAAUAGCUUCUCACAAUCUCUCUCGCAUCAAGAUUAUGUUUUCCAACCUUCUCAUUGGCUUUAUAACAUAGCUUUACAAUCAAACACGAAAUGGGCUUAAACAUGGGUUUUUUUGGCAAACCGUACCGAGGACGUACGUGCAUACGUACGUACGUUCACCUGUCCAAAGUUGUCUGUAAUACAUGACGUACGUACGCCCUAACAUGUAACAUGGUACGUACGUUCCUGAACGAAUAACUUUCGAACGUACGUACGUUCUACCAUAUGGGAGUUGUCUGUGAUGCAGGACGUACGUACGCUCUAACAUGGUACGUACGUUCCUGAACAAAUAAGAAAAAAACCAAUAAUUCUCCACCUCGACGAAGAUUCAAUAAAUCUAAGCCGACAUCAAGAACAAAACAAGUCUCAGUCUCCCACACAUGUCCCGAAGAACCAAACGGCUGCACCACCUCAUGGUUGCCUACGUACCCUUCUCCUAAGGGAUCAAGUCAUCGUAGUUCACUCUCAAUGGCAUCUAUAUGAUGCCCACCAUACCCCGAAGGGUCAAAUUCCCACAAGGGGCCAUAUCAAACCAAAUGCCCACCAAUGCCCUAGGGCUCACAAACAACUUUAACACAAUGGGGUCCAAGCUACUAAAUACCAUCUCCACCUCAACAAAGUUCUCCAUUGAAGAUGAUCCAGUGCCCCGAAAAACUAACCUCUCAAGAGUUUUUCCUAUGAAGUUCAACCAAAUGGGGUACAAAUUCAAAUCACUAUGCAUAGAUUUACCAAAUACAUCUUCCUUACUAACCGCCGAACAAACAUCACAUGAGAGAUUACCAACAAUAGGAAGUACGUACACAAAACCCUCAAACAAAGGUUUCACGGCCUCAUAAGGUUCUUGGGCGAUAACCUUGCUACUAACAAUGGUGGCUUCAAAUUUUUUCUUUGUCGUGUCAUCUAACAAACCAAUCAAAUGUGGAGCGACAUCAAUCUCCACCCGAACAAAUGACGCUUCAACAAAAUGCCUACCAACUAUGCAUGCAUUGCCACCCGCAAACAAAUCUGUCUUCACUUGCAUAGUACCAUCAACGACAUGCCUCAUAUUACUAUGUAAUUCCUUGGUAGAAUCGACAGACAAAUCAACAACUGAACUAUGCAAACCACAUGUAAUUGCACUUUCUUUCAAGUAGUACAACUUACCCUUUCUAAUGCCUUUCAUAACAACUUGUGCACCUACAACAACUUUUAGAACUCCACCAAUACAUGUAAUUUGCAUACCAUCGGACUCUAAAACACCUAUUGAGAUUUGAUUCGUAGUCAACCCCGGUACAUACCAAACAUCUUCUAACUUUCGAGUGCAUCCAUCUUCCAACUUCAAUCGAACUGUACCUAUCCCCAAAGUUUUGUAAGUAUGAUCAUUACCAAGCAAAACACAAGCAUCUAGCUCCUGAAAGCUAUCAAACAACUCCCUAUUGGGACACAUAUGAUAGGAACAACCCGAAUCCAAAAUCCACUAAUUAGUAGAAUAACCAACUGAGGAUGAAGCCAACAACGAAACACCAACACAUCAAUUCUCAUCUCUACGAUGUACACGAACAAUCUUCUUCUGCAACUUUGGACAAUUAAAUUUCCAAUGUCCCCAACAAUGACAAUAGGCAUAUUCAUUCUUUGCAAGAGUUCUUCGACUUCUCAAUCUACAUUGAGAACCAACCAAUCUACCAAUACUAUCAUCAACCACAUAGAACCGGUCCUUUAUAUUUUUCAAAGCGUACUUGUCUUCCAACUUGGACAACAUAACUAUUACAAUGGUUUCCAAUUUGACAAUGUACCACAAAUCUUCUACCAAACAAUACCGGACAAAUUCACAAGCCUUCUAAAUGAGUUAACCAUUCAUCAUCAUUUAUAUUUCUCGAUUUAUCAUCAAGAACAUCCACAUAGCCAUUAAUGGCUAACCAAUCUUGUACCUCCAUCUUCCACAUAGCAAAGUCGAGGUUACCAUCAAAUUUAUGAAUGUCAACAUCUAACAACAAAGUUUGAUCAAACAAACUAUCAACCUCCUUUCCAAAUUCACUCGAAUCCGAAAUAUGAUCCGACAUGAUACCAAUCAAUUUCAUACACCAGAUAAUCACCAAACGAAGGUAAACAAAUCUGAAAAUUCACACAGGAAUUUCUACAAACACCUUCUUGACAACCCACGGAUAAAAAUUAGAAUUUUUGGCUUGAAACACAAAUAAGAAACUCACUACGGAAUUUCUUCAAACACCUUCAAGACGCUCAAGAUCUAGCCUGCAGCUCUGAUACCACUUGUUGUGUGCAGCGGAAACUUAUGCACCAAUACCCAAGAUUGAAAUAGUGUAUGAAUUAAACAAAACAAAAUAGAGAAGAUGAAACUACUACUACUACCAGACAAAACCCACACAAAACACAAGAUUUACGUGGUUCGGCUAAUAUUGCCUACGUCCACGGACAAAUAAAUAAUCUUUUCUUAUAGAGAUGAUUAUACAAGCCCUCACGAUGAAACCAAAGUGUUCUUCCUCACAAAAGUUCUCUCAAACUCUCUAAUGGCUUCUCACAAUCUCUUUCGCAUCAAGAUUAGGUUUUCCAACCUUUUCAUUGGCUUUAUAACAUAGCCUUACAAUCAAACACGAAAUGGGCUUAAACAUGGGUUUUUUUGGCAAACCGUACUGAAGACGUACGUGCAUACGUACGUAUGUACGUACAUUCACCUGUCCAAAACUGUCUGUAAUGCAGGACGUACGUACGCCCUAACAUGGUACGUACGUUCCUGAACGAAUAACUUUCAAACGUACGUACAUACGUACGUAUGUACGUACGUACGUUUUAUCAUAUGGGAGUUGGGAGUUGUCUGUGAUGCAGGACAUACGUAUACCCUAACAUGGUACGUACAUUCCUGAACAAAUAAGAAAAAAACCAACAUGAAUGUCCUUAAUCACUAGUACCAAAUAGUAAGGAAUAUUACCACCUCCUUGAUUCAAUUCAAAUAUCCAUGCAAAAUUUUUGAAAGACUAAGCUUUAAUCAAAAUUUUACCUGAGAAAGUAAACCAUAGGGUCACUGGCCACUUGGCGUCGGUAUGUAAAUACGGAUGAAUGAGUGAUGAUGAAUCUUCAGAUAAUUAAUGAACACUUAAGUGAAAAUUUGAUACUAAUAAUUACUACAAGAGUUCCAUUAAGAUAAACUGAUACACUUUGGGUAGAUUUUAUAACUUCACAUAAUCCACAACGACCACACCCAAUGAUUGGAAAUCAGAAUUUUGCGGACCCCACUCUGAUUAGUCAUUACUCUGUCUUUUGGAAUAUUUGGAAGAUUCCAGAUUUUUGACACGCGUUAGUCUGCUGAUUUGCAAGAGAGUGUUUCUUGUCACUGCCAUUACCGAGCUUCACUUCUCCUAUAAAUUCUUGAAGAAAGAAGGAAGAAAAUUAUUUUUUCUUGAAGAAAGAAAGAAAGAAGAAGAAGAAGAUUAUUGUUUCUUCUCACUGCCAUUAUUGUUGAUUUGCAAGAAGAAGAAGAAGAAGAUUAUUGUUUCUUCUCACUGCCAUUAUUGUUGAUUUGCAAGAAGAAGAAGAAGAUUAUUGAGGUAAUCUUUGGUGAUGUGAAUUGAAAAACCUUUAGAACCCCAUUUUUGUUAUUGUUGCUUGGUGGUGUAAUUUGCAAAAUCUGAAGAAAAAAAAACCCAGUUUGGAAUCUUGUUUUUGCUUGGAAGAAGAAGAAGAACACAUACAUUAAUAUGGUUUUUCAUGAUAUGGGUUACACAGAAUUGGAAUGAAAGAGUAGUAAUAAUGGGUAACAAUGAUUUUGCAAAAUCUGUAAGUAAAACCCCCAUUUUGUGUUUUUGUUGUUUGGUGAUUGUGAAUUGCAAAAUCCCCUGAUAAGUGAUAAUAGAAAAAACCCAGCUUGGGAUCUUGUUUUUGUUUGAAACAAGACAUGAAUGCACUUUUUCAUGUUAUUGGGUUACACUGCUAUUCAUGUGAAUGAAUCACAAAUAUACAAAAAGGGGGAUGAAGAGUAAUAAUGGAUAAUAGCAGGUAAAACGUCUUUUUUAAAUCAAAGAUGCUGCCAAGAGAUUUUGAUUCAAAGACGUAUUACAGUACUGUUCAACAACAAAAUUCUCACACCCCAGAUUAUAUAACUUAUUACAAACAUCGAAGCCACUCUUUGAUCUACAGAAAAGUGAGACUUAUUCUAAGUUUUCAACUAAUCAUGUUCUUUUGUCGUUGCAGCACUGAUGGAGAGUGACGAUGGUGUUAUUGCACAACUACUGGAGUCCCCUGAACGAAAUCCAAAUCUAGAAGAACAUAUUACAAGUUUGGCAGCGCUAAACAGAGCUCCAUUGACCCGUGAGCAUCAUCCACCAUCUCUUCAAAUUCAACUUGCCCUUCCACCCCACUGCCGCAAUGCUCGGGACAUUUCACCAAAGCUUCUUCAUGCUGAAAAUUCUACAGUUUUUGAGGGCUACUUUCGCCUUGUUGACCGUUGCGAGCUCACCAAUUUUCCGUGGUACGUAAAUGUACCACCAAUUCCUGACUCAAUCUUACCUUGUAACCCUAUUUUCCUUCAAGAAAAGGAUUUCACAAAAAAUGAUAGAAAAAGUAUUUCAUUAAAAGCUGCAACUAUCAAAGCUGCUAUUCCCAGGUUCUUUACACCAGAUGAGGUCCAAACAAUCUAUCAAGGAAAGAAUCGUGGAGAUGGACUUGAGAUUAAUUUUUGGAUCAUUACUCCGGAUAAUCAGGUUAGUGUAGGAAAUGGAAGGUUGAAGGUUGACAGGAUGCGCACAUGUGUUAUUGAGAACUGGUACGAUUCGCAAGAGGAUCACACAAAAAUGUUCUUGGAUAAGCUGUUGACAAAAGCAAAAGGCAAGGGGGUGGCGUCCGUCUUCGAAUGCUUCAAGUCGAGGGAUGUGGAUGUGGAUGAGAGCAAAAGGUAUCUGUGGUUCUUUUAUGAUGCCAGUGUCCCCACAUUCGUUCUAUCUACUGAGGUAAUUACACAUUUAAUGUUUAAAUAACUAAAUAGAUGUGAUUAGUUUUAACCAUCAUGAUCACUGAUUAGCAUACAAAAAUACCAUUUUACAUUUCAAUUUGAGUGCAUGUAUGAUGAGAGGUUCAUGCUAGAUUACAAUCAUGCAUGUAAUAAGAACUGACAUGAAUAGUAUACUUUGAUAUCAUCCCAUUUACUUCAAUUUUUUUCUUAAUUAGCUUUUAACUUUUGUUUGGGGUACUACGAACAUAAAUACCCAGCCCCAAGGCACUUGUCAAAUCAAAGGGUUUCAAGUGGUACAAACUGUCACCAAUGCUUCCUCAAACACCAUCAUCUAAAUUUGUGAGGUUGCCUAGAAAAGUAAUCUUUCUUAGAGGAAAAAAUAAAGAGUUUACCUAAUGGGUGAUGUGCACACACACAUACAUGCAUACAACAUCUACACAGAAGGGAAGCGGUAUUACUAGUAUUAUGUGCAUCUGUAUACUUACUUUGAGCUAUCAUAUAUACGGAAAGCAAAUAGACCAUAAACAGAGAAACAAAGUGCUAUACAGAAAAUGGAAGUGGUAUAAUGUCUAUUCUAUUCUUGUAGUUGCUUUGGUAUAUACAGAAUGGUCAUAGAGUUUGAUCAAUUACCUAUAAAGCACCCCAUAGAUCUCCAGCUCCAGCUUAAGAAGGUUGGUGAACACGUCAAUAGCCCAUCCAAAGAACUGUAACGACAAAAUCCACGCUUCACAAUACUCCAGCUGUCUACCGUGCACACACUAGAACAUGAAACAGAGACAGAAGAUGCAAGUGCAAACUGUUUUAGAAAUUAAACAAACAUUUUACUCUAGUAACUCAUGUCAACGAUAUCCUUAUAGCACAAGUUAAAAUAGCAUUUAGAUAAUUUCUGUUUUUCGUAUUCUAUGUGUCUUUCUCCAACUCUGAUCUCACAUUAUCAUGGAAUUAAUUUUAUGGUAAUGGCUUCUAUAGAUUAGAUUUUACUUAUUGUUGUGUCAGUAUAUAUAAUUAUGACACUCAUUACAUUACUGAGCUAUAUAUUUUAAUAACUUGGCUAUCACAUUUCUUUUCUUUUAAUAUUGUCGCAUUAGUCUAUCUCGACUUACCCUAGCAACUCUUACUGAUAUUGUUUAAUUGCUUAAACAUGUGGCUGACGUUGGCAUUUAUCUUUUCUUUUCAGGAGAACAGCAGCGUUUUAUCAGAUCCUCUUGACCCCAAAUUCAAAGAUUCGCGUUUUAUCGGAUCAAAUAUAUAGUAAUAGGACUCAUUUUUAUCCUGGCGCCUUUUCAGGCUAUGAUGGUUUUGAUUACUUUUAUUGUAUCCUUACUCUUAAUUCCAAACAAUAGGUUUUUAUUUAGCUUUCCAUUUUAAUAAAAUUUCUCUUUUUUAUUUUAAUUGGCAAGCGAGUGUGAGGGGACCCGACCCUUUUAAAUUACGUUAGGAAACUUUUUAUCAAACAAUCAGGUGUUGUGUGUUUCGAACCCAAACCUCUCCCCUUUGUGAGACGGAUGCAUCUGCUGAGCCACAGGCUCAUACACUAGAAUUUGUCUUUUUACCUCCUUUGUGCUUCUGAGUUCUGACUGCUAAGAUUCUAAUGUGUGGGUUUCUAGUUAAGCAUAAUAAAUCUGCAUGGUAAUCACUUUGGCACGGACAGGGUAAUAGCACAUUGGCAACAACAAGUCAUACUAAGAGACAACAACUAAACUGAUGAUGAAACAUUUCAACAACUUUACAAACCACGGUGUUCAGGACGAGAUAAAAGGGCUAAAUUCGGAGAUGUGGACCCUCUCUGUGACAAAAAUAAAAGGUAGGGGAGAAGUACAAGCUUCAAACUUCUUUCCAGUUAAAAAUACAACAAAUAUAUUUUGCUAUUUGCUCAUGUUUUAUCAUGCUGACUUCGAAAUACAAAUGGAGAGGAGUCGGCAAGGGAUUGCCUUGAUAAUGAGUACAUCAUUAUAGUUAGACAGAAAUUGCCUUGACGAUGCCUACAUCACAACUAAAUAAUGUGUAAGGAGGUGAGCCACACAUUUGCAAAGUACUGGGUAAAAUGGAAGGAAAUGCAGGAGAGUGAGGGUAACUUAGACCUGUUCAAUCACUCUGGCAUCAAGGACAAGAUACCAAAAUUUCAAUAAGACAAGAAGGAUGUUUGGUCAGUAGAUGGAAAAAAUACUGUAGUAGGAACUGCUGAUUUUGACCAAGCGAACUUCUCAAUUGAAAUAUCGGGGACUAUGAAUGCACAUAUAUAGAUUCAUCUCAAAUGUACAAAUUAAGACCUUGAGGAUUCUCAAAUGAACAAAAGUUAUGAGAGAAAUCAGAACUCUGAAAUAGGCGGCUAGCUCAUUCUAAACACAAUAAGCCAAUGACCAUGACCGAAUGGUGAGAAUCAAGGCAAGCUAUACAAUAGUGGACGCUAAAUACAAUUUCCAUAUAAAUUUAACUUGAUGAACACCAAAAUCGAGCUGAAAUAUACUCUGUUAUUCACCUAAGACCUUGUGUCUAACCUCCCAAUCUCAAUCCUAAUAUAUUGAUGAAUUAUAAUGAAAGUAAGGUGUGUAAUUUGUAUCUUUUUUCUUAUUAAUAUAUUGAUUGUUUACCUUUCAAAAAAAAUCAUCCUUGGUUCUAUCAAGGAAACUUUAGAUAGACAUAGCAAGAGAACCAAAACCACCCUUAAAAUUGAAUCCUCAGAAAUAAUUUGUUGCAGGGAUAUUAUUAUUAUUAUUAUUAUUAUAUAAAGCAUAAUAGAACAAAACAAUUAUUAAUAAUUGGAUUAUAAAAAAAGUACCAGGAACAGGAACAGGAAAACCAGAUGAUGAUCAACAAGAUAGCUCUAACGCAAAUCCCUGGCAAAAUCGUAUGAUGAUUAAGAUAGAUAGAAUUCACAAGAAUGUUAAAAACAAAUUUCAAACACGCAAUUGAAGAUUAUAAUUCAAUUCAAACCACCUAUACAUAGAUCUACAUGAUUAUUGGCACUAGGACAUUCUUUCAAGUUGCAAGUUGCAAUAAACCAUGUUUAGUUUUUAAGGAUUUGCAGAUGAGAGACUUUUGAGAGAUAAGAAGAAAAGAACAAAUGAUGAUGAGAAAAUAUCAAGAAUCAUAGUUGUACUUGUAUUAGGUUAGGUCCGUGCAUAACACGAAGUAAACACAACGUGGGGGUAUGAAUGACAGCUCACACUUUAUAAAUACAUACGUGAUACGUUGAUACGUACAUGUGUCAGUCAGAUAAACAAAUUAACAAAACAAAAGAUCUGUAAGUUAGCUAUUAACAAGGACAAGAAAGGAAAAACACACGAGUAAUAUAUAUAAUUAGUUAAUUACUAUAAAAAAAAGUCACAAUUGAAUUCUCUCUUUGUGGAGUAAAGGGGUGGGCACGGUUCGGUUCGGUUCCAUUUUCCCACUAAACUGAAACCGAACCGUACAAGCUGGUUCGGUUCGGUUUUAAAAACCGAAAAUUAUUAUUAAAAUUGGGUUGGACCGAACCGAUUUGAUUCGGUUCGGUUCGGUUCGGUUUUCAGUUUGGGCUUUAUUAUGGGCUUUUGUGUUUUAGGCUUUAAUAACUUUUUUUUUUCGUACUUUUUUUGAAUAUUUGAAUAUAAUCUAAUAUUUAUAACAAAAAUAAAAAAAAAACAAAAAAAAAACAAUCAUAUAUAACGUGUAUAUAUAAAUAAAAAAUAAAAUAUAUAUAUAUUAAUAAAUAUAUAUUCGGUUCGGUUCGGUUUGAACCAAAAUAUUAGAAUAGAAAUUGGAACCGAAUUGUAUAUACUCGGUUCGGUUCCGGUUCCGGUUCGAUUUGAUCGGUUCCUAAUCAACACAGUUUUGACCCGGUUCGGUUCCGAUUUUAAUUCGGUUUCCCGGUUUUUUGCCCACCCCUAGUGGAGUUUGUGAGUUGUGACUUUAACUUUGCUGAGAGAGAGAGAGAGAAGAUUUUUUUUGGUGAUCUCAUAUUGCUAUCUCAAACAGAGUUGGUGCCGUGCCGGUGGUACUUAUUCAAGUAAGUCAAGUCGUCGAUCAUCUGGUGCUUUUUUUAUGCAAUUUUUCUUCAAAAAUAAAUAAAAUAAAAAAAUAAAAAAAUCCAAUUUUUAUUACUUAAUUAGCUUCUUCAAUAAAAUUUUAGGACUUUGUUGGUAUCUAUUAUACUAUAUUAAAACAGAAAAUACCCCUAAGAAAAUAUCUCUUCAAUUAGGCUAUCAAUUAGAUUGAAAUUGAUAGCCUAAUUGAAGAGAAUUUUCAUUAAGUUUGGUAAUUAUGCAAAAGUGGACCACCAUCACAGAUAUAAUCAAACCCAAUUAGAACAAAUCAUGGGCAUAAUUAAGCCCAAAAAUAAAAAUAAAAAGUAUACCCAAUACCAAGUAUAAUCAAGUCCAGCCCGUACCCAGUUGGACCAAAUCACAAGCAUAAUUAAGUCCGGUAAAAAAAAUUAAAAUAUACCCAAUCCCAAGUAGAAUAAAAUAUAGUAAAACCUCGAUAAAUUAAUAGCCUUGGGACUAGAGAAAAUUAUUAAUUAAAUGAGAUAUUAAUUCAUCGAUUAAUUAAUAAACUAUUAAUUUACAUAAAUAAUAUAUUUUCAUGUAUAUCUUUCUUUUUGGGGGCUAACAUGAUGAAACUGGACAAUCAUUUUAUUAAAAGUAUACCCAAUCCCAAGUAGAAUAAAAUAUAGUAGAACCUCGAUAUUAAUAGCUUUGGGACUAGAAAAAAUUAUUAAUUAAAUGAGAUAUUAAUUCAUCGAUUAAUUAAUAAACUAUUAAUUUACAUAAACAAUAUAUUUUUAUGUAUAUCUCUCUUUUUGGAGGGCUAACAUGAUGAAAUUGGACAAUCAUUUUAUUAAAAGUAUACCCAAUCCCAAGUAGAAGAAAAUACAGUAAAACCUCGAUAAAUUAAUAGCUUUGGGACUAGAGAAAAUUAUUAAUUAAAUGAGAUAAUGACAAUAUUAAUUUUUGGAGUUACUUAUAAAUAAUUUGGUUUACUACCUAUAAGUCAAUUGUUACUUAUGAUUAACACUAAAAUCGAUAAUGAUACUGGAAUAAUUUCUUCUUGCAAUACAAAAUACAACAGCAGAUCAACUUAGCAACAAUUGGCUUUUAUUAUAAAAAAAUAUAAAAUAUUUUUGUAUAUCAAAAAAAUAUUAAUUUAUAUAUUAGUUGGGCCUUCAAGGAUUUUUCUAAAAUGUAUUAUCUAAUAAAUUUAGUGAAAUAUUAAUUUAUCGACCUAUGCCCAAGUUGGGACCAACCAAAAAUAUUAUUUAAAGGAGAUAAUUAAUUUAUCGAGUAUUAUCUUAUCGAGGUUUUACUGUAUCUCUUCAAUUAUGCUGAAAUUGAUAACCUAAUUGAAGAGAAAUUCAUUCACUUUUGGGUAUUUUUGUAACUACACAAAAUAAAUAAAAAUAGGUCAAUAUGUAAUUUCACAUUUUAAAUACAACCACUUAUAUAGUAACCCUAACUCGAAUUCUUUAUAGGCAAUAAACCAAAUUAUCACCACUAGAUCUAAUACCAGUAAUAGACUACCAUUGAUAAAAUGCCCUAACUCGAAUUUCUUUCAAUUCAACAAUUUUAACUUCAAUAAGUUUACCAGUAAUCUUUUUUGAAUAAGUAGCUAAAUAAUUAUCUGGUGGAAGUAGUGAUUUACAAGUAUCUCUAAGAUUUACAUUGAAAUCACCAGAUGAUUUACUACGUUUGUACAACUUCUCCAUCUUCCUCUUCACUCAAAGUCUAUAUCUACUUAUAUGCUUAUAUUUGAUCCAUGUAUAUUUGAUGUUUGCUGAAAAUCUCUCAACGACACAGAAAUUAAACUCACCAUUAUUCUAAGUCAAAUGGGAAGGUAUGCAAGUUUAUUAAUACGAUCAUUAAUAAUAUUAAUAUGAUAUUAUUAUGGACACACAUCAAACAUAUUUGUGAUGACCAUUUUCAAGUACAUUCUCAACUUGACAAAAAGUAUACUUUGCAAGAAUAUGGAAAACCAAAGCCAUUAAUUUUGAUAAUGAUAUUGGAAUAAUUUCUUCUUGCAAUACAAAAUACAACAGCAGAUCAACUUAUCACACUACAAAAAUUCAGAGACGAGGUUCAAACCAAAAUCAAUUUUGAGAAAAAAUAAGCAACAAUUGACUUUAUUAUAAAAAAAUAUAAAAUAUAUUUGUACAUCGAAAAAAUAUUAAUUUAUAUAUUAGUUGGGCCUUCUAGGAUUUUUCUAAAAUGUAUUAUUUAAUAAAUUUAGCGAAAUAUUAAUUUAUCAACCUAUGCCCAAGUUGAGACCAACCAAAAAUAUUAUUUAAAAGAGAUAAUUAAUUUAUCGAGUAUUAUCUUAUCGAAGUUUUACUAUAUCUCUUCAAUUAGGCUGAAAUUGAUAACUUAAUUUAAGAGAAAUUCAUUCAUUUUUGGGUAUUUUUGUAACUACACAAAAUAAAUAAAAAUGGGUCAAUAUGUAAUUUCACAUCUUAAAUACAACCAUUUUCAUAGUAACAUUAACUCGAAUUCUUUAUAGGUAGUAAACCAAAUUAUCACCACUAUAUCUAUACCAGUAAUAAACUAUCAUUGAUAAAAUGCUCUAACUCGAAUUUCUUUCAAUUUAACAAUUUUAACUUCAAUAAGUUUACCAGUAAAUUUUUUUUGAAUAAGUAGCUAAUUAAAUAAUUAUCUGGUGGAAGUAGUGAUUUACAAGUAUCUCCAAGAUUUACAUUGAAAUCACCAGAUGAUUUACUACGUUUGUACAACUUCUCCAUCUUCCUCUUCACUCAAAGUCUAUAUCUGCUUAUAUGUUUAUAUUUGAUCCAUGUAUAUUUGAUGUUUGUUGAAAAUCUUUCGACGACACAGAAAUCAGAACUAAACAGUAUUCUAAGUCAAAUGGGCAGGUAUGCAAGUUUAUUAAUACGAUCAUUAAUAAUAUUAAUAUGAUAUUAUUAUGGACACACAUCAACAUAUUUGUGAUGGUCAUUUUCAAGUACAUUUUCAACUUGACAAAAAGUAUACUUUGCAGGAAUAUGGAGAACCAAUAACCUAUGUCCUUUCUUUGCACUUAGUAGACAUUGACAAAAAGUAAAUGAAAAUAGAAAAUAGACUCCAAUAAAAAUGAUGAUAUAAUCUUCAAUACAUUUCAAUGGUGGGGAUAUGAAAGGGGACCCAAGUAGCAGUAAGACCUAUUUACUGCAAUUUUAGUUUCCAUUCAUUUGUGAUCUAAUGUAUGUAAAUGUGUUGUAGAUGGGAUUAUAUCAAAAAAGGUCGCAAGAUUCACACAGACAUGGAUUGUAUGGUUGCCUUCCGGAAAGGCUUAACUACAUGGACCUAAGGGGACCUCUCCGUCACAUUACAAGUAAUUCAUUUUUAUCAUCAUAAUAGUUUGCUAAAUAUUUCAAAUUUUCAGGAUGUUAACUGUUACAAUCCAAAUUAAGAGACGCUCGACUGCUAAUGGACUACUGUGAAAAGAUUGUUUCCCAAAGUAAUGAAGCCUCAACAACCGAGCCAGACUAAAUUCUAAUUGAGACUUUGAGAAUUGAGAGUGCUGCAAAAUUCCACUCUCCUGAAUAUCUUUAACUACUUUGGGUUUAAUUUUCAUGUAUAUAUAAUAAUCAUUCAAUUUCAAUAACAAUGAUUUAUAAUAAUUCUAAAUGAAAUCAUACCAGAUCAUAGACUUUUAAAACGGGCUAAACAAAAUAUUACAAGUUAAAAACCAAAAGCAACAUAAAACCCCAAAAAAACUCUAAAACAAUCAGAUCUACCCGUGCAUUGCACGGGCCUAAGGACUAGUAUCAAGUACUAGCAGCUGACCCAUGCCUUCGGCACGUACGACGGAUUUUGUCAAUGAUUUUGGAAGUUAGGUUGGUUGAUUUGUAAUAUUUUUUUUAUUAUCGGACUUUGAUCCGGAUCAGGUAUAAGUUAAAUGCACACGUAUAAGAUAAAUGCAGAACCGUAGUUGUAAAACAUUGUGAUGGCAUUUAUUGUUUUUUCCAUAGGUAGUAAUGUUUUUUUUGUACCAACACAAAAAAUUCGUCAGGAGAUGUUGGGUAUCGGUGUUUGUGAAGAUAUUUUGGUUCAUAUGAGGAGUUGUGUAGUAGUAAACUUUAAUUUUCUUUACACAUCCAACAUGAUUGACGAAUCCUUGUGGAUCAUGCAUAAUGCAAUAGAAUUAUUGCAAAUAAAAAGGGGUUUGGAAUUUUGGAAGUUGACAUUAGUUGGUGGAUGACAAUUGGAUUGAGGCAUUAGUCGUUAACCACAUGGAGUACUUGACUAUGAAUCGCAAAAUGUUAUUAUUUUUGGUUUAUAGGGCUAUCAAAAUGUGUCUGCAAAUUAUCUUACAAUAUAUCAAUUCAUAUAUAAUUAGUUUCACACUUCAUAAAUCUACAAACAAAGAAAGAAAUACUCCAACUUUACUUGUAUUAUCAUUCAUCGCAUCGUUAUAGCUUUUCUUUUUCUAACACUGCAUAUGAUGACACCUAAGUUAGAAAGUCUUCUAAGUCCUAAACUCCUUAUUGAUAUUUGAGUAUAUAGAAUUUGUAUUCAUUGCUAAUCUUAGUAUAUAAAUGCAGGAAACUUAAUUUGUUGGUGGUCGUUCAUGGUGAUAUUUCAAUGGAUUAAUUUGUUGGUUGUUGAUUUACCGGUCUAGCUACACCUACCAUAAAAAGAAAAAUAGGUGUGCUCAUUAUUGGUGAUGACAGUGAUCAGAACAACUAUAAAAAAAUAUGCAGAAAACUGUCUAUGAAGAAUUGUGGUCUUGUAAGAACAAUCUAAAAUAUAAAAUAUAAAUUUUGUAAAUAGAAAUAUAUAUACAGUUACCAAUACAUUGAAUAGCAGUAAUUCAUUUAGAAAGUACAAUAUUGUUCGUAUAUUGUAUCUGUAUUGUAUAAUUAAAUUUUGCUAUGUACUUUGAUCCAAAACCUAUUCAGUAUCAGUAUCUAUUUUUUUUAAUGAUAUUUUUAAUGAGAAAUAGUAAAUAUGGUGGUUUGUAUACAAAAAUAUUGAAAAACGGAACUUUGAAUUUUAAUGAUGUUAUAUCAAUUUAGUAAUGUCAGUUUUAUUUUCUUGGGUAUAGAUAUUGGGAAGUAAAUAUUGGGCUUGUUGUUGGAUUUUGUGAGGGUCAUUUGGGGUUGAUCCUGAUUGUCGCGUUUAUUUGUGGUGAACAGAUGUAUUUUAAUAGAGUAACUUUUUUUUCUUGGGUUUUGAGACUAUAUAUUUUUUAAAGACGGUGUUUUCAGUGUUUUGGUUUGUUAGUGUUCUUUUGCGGUUUCUCUUUUUUUUUUUUUAUUGUUUGGUUUUUCAGAGAUUUGAAGGAAGCCAUUUUUGGAGAAUAUGUAUUCACAAUCUGUUCAAAGGUUGGUUAUGUUAUUAUUGGGUUUUUUUGAGUAGAUAUGUUAUUAAUUUUGUCCGAAAUUUUUUUAUUUUAUUAUAGUUAUUGGGUGAUUUUUGUGUUUUUUCAUGUUGAUUUGUUUUUUUAGGGAUGUUAGUUUAAGAAUAUGUUGUGUUUUUUAGUAAAUUGCGUACUAUUUUGGGUUAUAUAUGAGAAUUAGUUUAAGUCCUGAUGAAUUUUUAAUUUAAUUUAUAUAUUAUCUAUAUAUAUUUGAACCUUGAUUACUGUAUGUUGGUAUUAUUUUGUAGGAAUUUAAAUCGAGACAGGAUUAGUUGUUUGUCACUUGAGAUUCGCAAUCAUAUUGUAUCUUUUUUAUCUGUGGAAGAUGCAAUGCGGGUUUGUACCCUUUCAAGAGUAUGGAGGGGUGUUUGUUCUUCAAUUUCUUGUAUGAAAUUCGAUCAGAUGUUGUUUAUGGCUAGAGGUUCUUGUGUUGCAGAUUUUAGAAAUUUUGUUGAUGAAUUGUUAUUUCGGCAUGAUGGAUCUGAUAUAGAUGAUAUGCGAUUCCGGGUUACAGUGGAUGAUGUGUAUGUUACUCCUCGUCGUAUUAGUAGUUGGUUAGCUUUUGCAAUGUUUCAUAAUGUUAGGAGUAUAUAAUUUUCUCUUUUGGGUGGACAUUUGCGAAGGUUUUCUUGUUCUUUUUAUAAUUGUAAUAGUUUGAAGAUGUUGAAGUUGGUUAGGGUUGAGGUUGAAUGGCCUGAGAGUUAUAGGUUGCCACUAUUGGUGAAGCUGUGUUUGCAUGAGGUAGUUUUUAAUAAUGAAGAAGUUGUGGAGAAUCUGAUUUCGUGGGGGACAUGUCCUAUGUUGAAGGAGGUGGAAUUACAUUGUUGUGUUGUUUUGGUGGUUUGGUGACGGGAUCGAUAAGCCUGGCCUUCAAUCUGUAGUGAUUAUGAUCGACAAAUGCUUGAAUUUAGAGUAUAUGUACCGAAUUUGUUGAGUUUGGUGUGUAAUUGUUGGAAAGUUCUUAAAAUAAGGCCAGACACAUUGCAGUCAUUGGUUUCUGCUGAGUUCAAUUUUUAUUGGGAUAUUGCUGUUAGUGAUGGUACUUUGAAGGCUGCUUAUUUUGCAUGUGUUAGGAAAAUUCUGACUGGUUUGACAUCUGCAAAGACUGUCAGCUUUAAUAGUAUCUUUACUGAGGUUUGUUUUGGAUAUUGUUUGAUAUAUAUUUGUUUAUAUGUCAAGGUGAUUAUAUAAUUUCUAAUUUUUUUUCGGUACUUUGUAUAUGUGGCAGUUCCUUUGCUGGGGUGAGGAGGAACUAAUAGCAUUAGUGCCUAUGAGGUUUGCAUCUGUGAGUCGAUUAUGUUUGGAUUUAUUUAACAGUGAUAAACAUUUAGAGGUGUUGAAGAUUUUAUUAAGGAGCUAUGUUGAUUUGGAGUUUUUGGAAAUCGUUGUUGUUGAUAAGGUAUGUUUUUGAAAUUUUUUUUUCAUGAGAAUACAUAACUUAUUAGAUUUUAAAUCUGGUUUUGUUGCUGUAUAGGAACAUGUAUGUUUUAAGAUGCUAAAGGCAAUGAAUUCUUCUGAGAAUGAGGUGUUUUGGGAUUCAUAUAUGGUUGUUGAUGAAGAUAUUCUUCAGGCGUUGCGGGUGGUGGAGGUAAAGAAUUUUGGUGGAAGAAAACAUGAGCGUGUUUUUGUACAAUAUGUGCUUGAGGCUGCUCCUUCUUUGGAGCGAAUAGAUUUUACAUAUCCGGGUCAGGAGUUUGCAGGAUAUUAUAAUCAGAUGAGAGUUGUUCAAGCAAUUACAAAAUAUCGCGAAAGGUUUACAAAUGUUUUGUUUUCUAUUAUAUAAAGGUCUGGUUCUAUUUUAGAAGGUGUUGUUCAUUUUGUCUAUGAAAGUAUUUUUUUUGUUUUGUAAAAGGGGGAAGUGGUUUUUCUAAACUACUUAUUUGUUUAAAUUGAUGAAGUUGUUGUAAUAAUCAAUUUUUGGAAGGUUGAUUCUGUAAAUGUUGAUGGUGUUUAGUAUGGUAUGAAUAUUUUGAUGUUGUGGUAUGUAUAUAGUUUUUGUGUGAUUUAGAUAAUGAACAGAAAUUUAGUUUAUUCAUGUCCAUUUAAGAACUUGCAUAAUCAAAUCAGUUGUCCAAAGCAUAUUUAUAGUAGUAUAAGUUUUGAAUGUUCAAUUAUUUCUGUUGAUUCUUAAUUUUGAUUUGUUUGCAAUCAGUUGAGUUUACAUUUUGGAAUGGUAACUUCAAUAAGUUAGAAGGAAGUCUGNNNNNNNNNNNNNNNNNNNNNNNNNNNNNNNNNNNNNNNNNNNNNNNNNNNNNNNNNNNNNNNNNNNNNNNNNNNNNNNNNNNNNNNNNNNNNNNNNNNNNNNNNNNNNNNNNNNNNNNNNAGGUUUGGAAUGGGUUUCAUCUGAUGGCCCAAAAAUGAGUGCUUAUAUGUUGGUCAGUAUAAAGUACAAAGUAGAUAGAAGAGUAGAGUAGAGUACAAAUUAGGAUAGAGUAGAGUAGAUAGACUUGAGUGCUUACGUUGGUCAGUACAAAGUAGAGUAGAGUAGGUAGAAGAGUAAAGGUGAAAUUUGGGUUGGGCUGAAAAUGUGGGUAGAUUCAGUGUUGACCGGGUUGGGUUUUCUUUGUAGGUGGAUUUUUUGUUUUGAAGAUUGGAAAAGGUGAUGUGGAAAUUUGCAUGAUAACCGUGUGUAUUGAAGUUGAAUGCAUGGGAAUUGGUGCAUUGGAGUGGACUAUUUUGUUCAGUGAAGAAGGAACGAUUGUUAUUCCGUUUGAUAACACAAAUUGAUUCUGAUCUGGGUUUUGGUUUGUCGAUUUGCUGUUCUUGUUUUUCUGGUUUUGUUUGUCGAUUUCUUUCUGGUUUGGGUAGUAAAAUUUGGAGUUUUCUGUGAAGAUCAAGGUUAGUGUUUUAUUUUAUUUUUUUGGUUAAUAUAAAUAUAUUUUUUGUUGGGUUUUGUAAUAUGUAAAUUUUGAUUUUUAUUGUUGGAUAUUUUAUUCUGUUCAUAAUUUUUAUUUUUUGUAAUGAGUAUUAAAAUAUUUAUUUUUUGAAUAUUUAUUUAGAUAAUAUUUUGAUUGUAGUUGCUAGAAAGCUGAUUUAUUCAUUUUGAUUUUGUUAGAAAGUUAUAGGGUUAUGUAAAAGAAUUGAAAUCUGUUGAAGAAUAUUAGUAUCCGAAUUUUUGUCGUUAUAUUCUGUUUAAAUUUUUGUUUCGGUAAUAGAGAGUAGCAAAAUUAUCUGUGGUAAAAAGUAUCUGUGGUAAUAGAGAGUAGCAAAAUUAUCUGUUCAAAAUUAUCUGUGGCAAAAUUUUUCCUUUGGUUGCGAUAAGUCUGCUGCUCUGUAUUUGGUUUUUCUGGUAAAAAGUAUCUGUGGUUUUGCAAAGUAAUUAAUUUUUAGAACAAAAGUUGAUAAGUCUGCAAAAUUAUAGUCACGAUGGUUAUAUACUAACAGUUGUAAAGUCAAAAUAACUAAUUUUUAGAACAAAAGUUGAUGUGAUCAUAAAAUUAGAGUCACGAUGGUUAUAUACUAACAGUUGUAAAGUAUUUGUGUAUAUAUAACAUGAUUGAAUCUGUUUGAGUGUAACAAAUAUCCAUUAUGUUAGGUAGUAUUAUUUCUUUGUUGGUUCUUUUAAUUGAGGAGAGUCAACUUCAAUUUUCGUGUAUUUUUUUAUCGAUUUAUGGGUACUUUUGUAGGUGAGUACUUAUAUGAAAGAGUUAACCUUAGUUAUAUAAAUGAGUAGUUAUAUAAUGUGUUUAAAUAAAUAGAUCAAAUUAUGAAAGAAAGUCCAUAUUUAUAAUGUUUGUAAGAAAUGAAUAAUUGUUUUUGAAGUUAGUUGCCAGUCUGACGAAAAAUGUUUGCACACGUUUUGUUUACUUCUGAUUUGUGUUGUUUUUAUACUAUUUAUUUAUGUAUUUUUGAAUUGGAUUUUUGGUCUGAUUUUUUAGGGUGGCAGAGGACACAUUUGUGGGAGUCAUGGAUAGGACCAGGUGAGGUUGUUUUAUUCUAUUGAUUUGUCAGUAUUAUAUUACGUCUAUAUUGAUCUGUCAAUAUUAUUUGUAUUUGAUGUGGUUAAUAUGUUAAUUUUUUUUUUUUGUUAUUUAUUGUUUGAUUUUCUCUUAAUCAAUAAUGAAUUAGGAAAAAUAAAAACAAUAUUUGUUUAGAGGAUAUUUUGCAUUAUAUAUAUAAAUUUAUAUGUAAUGUAAGGACCUUUUUUAAUAUGAAUUUAUAUGUAAGGUCCUGGUUCAGUAUGAAUUGUUGGUUAAUUUUGAAUGCCCCGUCGUUGAACUCCUUGUGAGGGUACUACAAUUGUUCUUGUGAAGGCAUUCCUCCUUGUGGCUGAUAUUUUCCAGGUCACUGAGGAUGUACUCCUACAGCAUCACUCUAAGGAUGUACUCUGCCACUACCAAAAAAUCCCUGGGGAGAUACAAUUGGUACUACAAUUGUAUCCACCGCAACCUAAGGAUGUUCUUGUGAGGGUACUACAAUUGGUCCACCGCAGCCUCCCUAUUGUUGUUGAGGUCUCCAUCCACCUCUUCCAACUUGUGGUACUCGUCCUCUCUGUCGAAGGGUUGGAAAUUGCUGCUGCAUUAGGGGUCAAUAUUCUUUUUGUUAUUUAUUUAAUAUUGUAUAGCUUUGAAAAAUAUCUGAAUUGGUACUUUGUUGUUGUUAUUUUGUUUAUAUAUUUUUUUUAUAAAAUAAAUGAUUCAAUGGGUCCAAACAGGUCUAAACAUUUACAAGUUUAGAUAAUUUGUUUCAUAUCAUGUAGUUCAGAUUUAGAUAUGGUUUAUUUAUUUGGAUUGCAUGUUUGGUUAGUAGGUAGACAUAUUGGAAUGAUGUAGUUCAUUUCAUCUGUAAUUUAUUUUUUAUUUAUGAAUAAAUUUCUAAAUUUGGUUUCAUUAUGGAAAAUGUCUUUGCAGAUUAUUGACUCGGGAUAGAUUUAGUUUUUUGCCAGAUGAGGUGCGUAAUUAUAUUAUUUCUUUCUUAUCUGUGGAGGAUGCGAUGCGAGUCAGUACUGUUUCAAAAUUGUGGAGAAAUGCGUGUUCGUCUUUGACUCGAUUGACAUUUGAUGAAGUUGAGUUUCUUGAAAGAGGUUAUACAGUAGCAAAUUUUCGAGAUUUUGUUGAUGAAAUAUUAUUUCGACAUGAUGGUUCUGAUGUUUUAGAGUUUCAUCUUAGAGUUAUGAUUGAUGAUAUUCAUGUUACUCCUCGUCGGGUUAUUGGAUGGCUGUCAUUUGCUUUUUUUCAUAAUGUGGAAAUCAUUGAUUUGUACAUUGUGGAUUGGUAUUUGGAAAGGUUUUGUUAUGGAUUUUAUAAUGGCAGAUUUGUAAAGAGUUUAAGGUUAUUCAGUGUUCAAAUUGAAGGGCCUGUGUUGUUUAAAUUACCAUCGUUGGAGAAACUUUAUAUGAGUGAUGUGAUUUUUACCAAUGAUGAAGUUUUACAGAAUUUGAUUUCGAGUGGAUCAUGUCCUCUACUUCAAGAAGUUGAAAUUCAAUCAUGUGUAAUUGGUGGACCUGCUCUUGUUAUUGUCAAUCCUGUUCUUCUGUCUGUGGUAGUGUAUGAUGAGGAAAUUACUGAAUUGAAAAUAUUUGUUCCGAAAUUGUUAAAAGUAGUCUGCCAUUGUUGGUCAAUGCCUAUCAUUCCGAAGAAUAAUUUGGCUUCUUUAACAGAUGUUAGAGUUGAAAUUUUUUUUGAGAAUGAAGAAGUUGAUGAUUUGUUUAAGGUAGGUGCUACUGCUGGAGCUCAGGGAAUCUUGAUUGGACUGACUAAUGUGAAAACAUUAUAUUUCAAUUCUAUUUUCAUUGAGGUUCGAUAUAAAAUAUUUAAUAAAGUUUUAUUUUUAUUAUAUUAUUUAUAAGUCAUUUUGGAGUAAUCUUUUUUAUUUGUAUUUGAUCUGAAAAUGAUGCAGUACCUUUGUUGGGGAGAAGAAACUUUGGUGUCAAGAUUGCCUCUAUGUUUUCGCAAUCUCAGAUGUUUAUGCCUGGAGUUAUUCAAUAGCUACAAACAUUUUGAAGUGUUGAAACUUUUAGUAAGGAGUUGUCCUGAUGUGGUCAGACUGGAAAUUACUGCUGUUGAUCAGGUAUGCUAAUAUUAUAAUAUAUAAUUGUUAUGUUUUUUUAUAUAUAUUUUUAAUUAAAAUAUUGGAUAUUAUAAAAUGUUUGAUUAUAUUGGUUAUGUUUUUUUUGUAGGAACAUUUAUGCUUUGAAAUGUUGAAUUCAAUUGAUGUUUCACAGAAUGAAACAUUUUGGCAGUCACGUAUAUUUAUUGAUGUAGAAGUUAUUACUGCCCUUCGUGAAAUGGAAUUCAGAUAUUUCGGUGCUAAGAAAUAUGAGGUUGCGUUUGUGGAUUUCAUCUUUCGAAUGUUUCCGUCAUUGUUUCGAGUAAAGUUUACCUACCCAGAAAGAGAAUUUCCAAGGGGGCAUCGGGGAAGAAAAAUUAGGAAGAUGAUUAACUACUAUCGGUUGAAAUAUGAGGAUGUUAUUGUAAGGUUGAUAUGAUAUCGUGGUUGUUGGGUACAAUUUCUUGUGGAUGUAUUGUGCAUAUUGGGGGUCGUUACAGUCAGUUUUUUUUUAUUAUCAGAUGUUAUGGAGGUACAAAGUUGGAUUUGGACUGGUACAAAAUAUGUACUAAUAUUUGGUCAGAAUUUUUUGGGUGUAGUUAUUUUCGUUGUGUACGUUUUUUGUUUUGUCAGAUUUCGAAGAUUAAGGUUUUGAAGGAAUAUUAUAAAUUUUUGUAAGUUUUUGAAGGAAUAUUAUUAAAGUAUUUGUUGAAUGCUUUUUGUUAUUUUUUAUUUGGACUUAUCGGAUCAAGCAUAUGCAGAGAACAGACUAUUGUUUGUGAAGUGAAGAAGGCUAAUCAUAAAAACUUCUUCAGCAAAUUGAGAGGUAAAAGUGAUGUCAUAGGAACUUAGUUGGGUUAAUGUGUUAGGAAAUGAGUUGAUGCCAUUUGGAAUUUAGGAUGUAUUUGAGGCCAACAACUGUGAAAUGUUGGCUUGUAGUUUCUAUUCCUGACUUGUAGUAUCUAAACAACUAUUUUUGCAUCUGUUUAGAUAAUAAGAUGUUUAAAUAUACAAAUAUUGUUUUUACAGUAUUACAUAUGUAGUAGUACAUAUAAAUACAGAUUUAUAAAGAAAUAGUUAGAGGACAGUACAUUGUGCUUAGAUAGUAGUAAUUGAUUGUACAAUAUUUCUUAUUUCAUUCUACAUAAGAAAGGUGGAGUGUUGCUCAAUGCUUUAGAUGUUUCUCUUGAAAAAGCAAAAGUCAGAUAUGUAUUCAGAGAAUGCAAAAUUCUGCUGUUGUACUUGUUUAUCCUGAAAAAUUAAAAAUAUUGCGAAGAUGAAAUAUUAAUAUGAGGUUGCUUGAAUAAAAUGUUUCUUAUUAAUAAGGACGAAAAAAAAAAAUUAUUAUAUACCUUCUGCCAUAGAUAGAUGUUAUCCAAUAUUAAUAUCGGAUAAUGCUGCUUGUAAGGUAUCAGGAAUGGUAAAGUGAAGCAGCUAAAAUAGUAAACAAUCGAAUGAGUUAAUCUGUAUAAAAAUAAAAGACUGAAGUUUAAAUGAAAUGUAUAAGAAUAUUUACCUUUAUUGUAAAUAGUUGAUUUGUAUAUGGAUUCAUUCUUUUAUCGACCAUGUCGUUGUAGUUUUGCAUAUCAACGGCUUUUAUUGUUGAACAAUGUUGAUCUUGGCAUAUAAGUUGGGGUAUUUUGUUUUUGUAGGUUAUUAUUUUUGUAUAACCAGAACAACCUAUAUUAGCACAUUUCAUGUAGUACCUGUGACAAACCAGGGAAUGAUGACCGGCAGCUCCGCACACAUAACAUAUGAUAUUUGGAUUAUUAAUGUAUUUUGGGUGAAGAAGGUUGUGUUUGAAGUAUGGAGAAUUUUGGUCAAUUUGGAUGUUUCCAUUGUUGUCGAUAUGUUGAUGUAGUAUAUCUUCCAUCCAAAUGCUUUCAAGGAUAUGAUGUUUUUCAUAAUCGGAUAUUUCGUUGUUUUUUUCAAAUUCCAUCAGUACGUAUAAAUAUUAUACCAAAUGAAGCUGUUAAGAAAUUAGAUGUAAAAUGAACUGAACGAAAUACCGUAGAGAAGAUGUAAGGAAGAAUAAAAAAAGAGGGAGUAGAUAUGGUUAGAGAUUAGGAAAAUGUGUUUGUUUAAGUAUUGAGAGGGUAGGUCGGUUCUGUAUUUGUUGUGGGUCAUAACUUAGUCAUGUUUGGAGAUAUAAAUACGUGUUCGCAUUUGAAGAUGCAAUUAUUUAGAAAUAGAUGAGUCAUGGUUUGUAGGUGUAAAGAUUCUGUUAAGAGCAGAAAGUAGUAGAAAAUUGUAGAUAAAAAAAUAAGGAUGAAGCAAGAAUGUUAUAGGGUUUUUUUUUAAAGAAGGUCAGUUGCAAGAAUAUGUUUUUUGGGAGGAUAGGUUUUGUUUUUUAAUAAACAUGUGAGUAACUAUUCUGGAUGAGAAGUUCACAUGUAAUUGAGUUUUUGUUGGUUAUUGUGAAAAUAGAUUGCGUGUUCAUUUUUUUUAUAUUUAAUGAUAUCAUUUAUAUUGGAUAAGACUGAGAAGAAGAGAUAAGGAUUUUGGUUGAAGCUGUCCUCAUGAUGUUUUUGUUAUUCUUCUGCAGGAAAUCACAUGCAGAAGAACAUGUAUUUGCUUUGCUUUAGGGUUUUGGUUAUAUUAUAUAUUAUAGGUUAUUUAAUUUAUAGAAACGGUAAAAAAGGAAACAAUAUUAUGAAUAUAGGAUAGUUUAAUAUUGUUCAGAAAAGAAUAAUUUUUAUAAAACAAUAUAUUAAUAUAUUAUUGUAGUGACACGCGGUGAAAGAUGGAUUUGUUUUAUUUGAGGACUUUUGCGAACAUUUGUUAGAUAAAUAGAAUAUAUUAAAUUUUGGCAAGAAGAAACUGUAUGAGCUGUUCAGUCGGAUGAGCUGUUAUAAACAUAGAUAAUUUCUUUAAAGAGAGGAUAGUUUUUUCCCUUUUGUUUGAAGAAAAAAGGCUGCUGAUAUCAUGUUCACAAAGCAAGCAGGGAGUUCAAGUUCGUCGCGAUAUAAAUGUUUUAUAUGUUCUGAAGUUGGGCAUUUUGUAAGUGAUUGUAUAUAUAAUGAAUUCCCCUGUGUUUUGCUUAAUGCUGUCCAUACAAUGAAGUUUGGAGUGAGUUCUCAAAAAAAAUCAUUGGGUAGACAGUUUUUAAGCUGUAGCUAUGGUGGUGGUGAUUGCAAAGGUUUUUUAUGGGUGGAUGAGAUUAGCAAUAUUCAACUGAAAAAAGAACAAAUUUGGUGUAAGAUGCGAACGAAACAGGAAAUAUGUAAUAAAGAAUCUGGGAAAAACGAAUCACUUGUUCUUACAAUUUCAACUGUAGACAAUCUGGAAAUGAGCGUAGAAGGCAAUGCGAAUGAGAUUAGUAAGUUAGUUCAAUCUUUAGCUAGAAGUAAUAUUAAUUAAUAAAAUGUAGUUGUUAUUUCAAAUAUUUGAUGAGUGUAAAUUUGUAAUAAGUUAGUAAAUUUAUUUUAGUUAAAUUUGGAAUUUUUCUUUUAUCAAUGCUAUCGGUUUAUUUAUGUGGAAUAUAUUAUCAUUGAUUUUAAAUAUUUUAUAAAUCAAUGUUUAUAUUUAUAAUUUAUAAUUUAGUUGAAAAUUUGUAUAUGAUUUGUACCUAUAUAUUUUAUAAACCAAUAUUUGUGAAAUUUAAAAUGAAGAUAUGAGAAUUUUUGCAAAUGUUAAUGGAAAUGAUUUUUUUUGGAUAUUUGUUCGAAAAAAAUAGGGAAAAUGAAAAAUUGUUGGAAACGAAAUUCAUCUGUAAUUUGAUAGAUUUGAAAAAAUAUAAGAAUCGGUGGAUAUUGAAAACAUAUGUAACACACGAAAAUUUGGAUAUUAAUUGUUUGGUGAGAGAAUUUAAUAAUAACUAAAAAAAUUUUAAAGAUGUUUUGUAAAUAGAAGAAAAUUUGGUAGAAAUCUAAAGAUUGUAAGAAAAAAUAAUAUAUUGAAUAUAAUGAAUUUUAUUUAUAUUAUUGUGUUAUGGUAGGCAAAAUUUUGGUUUAUCAAUCAAAUAUAUUGCUCAUUUGGAUGUGGAAACAUGUUUAUCAGUUAAUAUUGAAAUGAGUUUGUUAUUGAUAAGAGUAAAAAGAGUAAUAUAUGAAGGUAUAUAUUUUACUACUUGAGACUUGGGAGAAUUAUGUGUUUUUCCAAUGCCAAUAAAAGUUCGGAAGAGGAAUUGACUUAUACGAUUAGAAAUAAAGUUGAGUUGAAUAAUUUUACGUGUUCAUUUCUGAAUUUGUCAGAAGAUAUUAUGGAAGUGGUCAUCUUCAGGGGAAUAAAAAUAGGUAAUAUAUUAUAUUAAGUGUAUUUUCAUUAGGUAUACGUGUAUCCAUGGAAGUGGUCAAGUUCUGCAUGUUCUGAAAUGAUUUGUUCAGAAAAGUAGUGUUUUCAAUUUGGAAAUGAAUUCUAAAUCUGCAAUAUUAAUGGAUUGAUUAGACAAAUUUUACAAAUAUGUAAUGAUGAAAAUAGAAAAGAUAUCUAAAUACUUAACCCAUGAUUGUACAAUGUCUGCCGUGCAGAGAAAGUAUCAAUACCUAUUUGAUAUUUCGUUGCUACUAUUUUUGCAUAAAAUAUAAUAGAAUUCUUGAGUAUUUUUGCAUGAAGAAAUUAUUAAUCAUUUUUUUAUUUUCGGCUUUAAUUGUUUGUUUUUCUUGGAAGUUAGUAUGACUGAUAACAAAAUUGGAACAAUUUAUUUGAUAAAUCUUUUAAAUAAAAUUAAUUAAGGAAGAAUUAAGGAAAAAAUUGUGUGAAAACACAGUUGACCUGCUAUAAUUCUCACAGUUGAAAAUUCAUAUUUAUUUAAUAUAAUUCUCACUGUUAUAUAUCCUUUAGCAAAUAAAUAUUCUCACUGCUAUAUUUUCUGACAAUAAAUUAAAAAUAAGUUUCAAAUGAAAGAAUGAAGGUGGUAAAUAUCUGCAUUGACCAUAAAGGUUAGAUAUUUGUCAUUAAUUGUAAUGGGAUUUUGCCUAGAUUAUGAAAUAUUCCAACUAUAUCUGUAUGGGAUAUAAAAUAAGACAUUCAAGUAGAUAAAUAUCUUUAAGAAUAUCUAUGAAAUAUCUUUGUAUGAUAUCUUUAAGAAUAUCAUACAAAGAAAAUCUAUGUUUAGUAUAGGUUAGUAAGGAUGAGUACUUAGUAGGUGGUAAAAGGAUAAGAGUUGGUAUGACAAAGUAAGUAUACAAAAUAAGAUUUGGUAAAAGGAUAAGAGUUGGUAUGAUAAGAGUUGUUGAUAGGAGUUUAUGAGUACUUUGGAUGAGUAAGUAUACAAAAUAAUAUUUGAUUGUAAACCAUAAUACAAGUGUCAAUAACCGAAAUAUUGAUUUAUUGGUAGAUGUUGCGGAAGGAGAAGAGGUUAGAACAAUUGAGUGUGGUCACACGUUUCAUGCAAUUUGUUUAUUUAUAUGGGUUGAAAACAGAUCAGUCUGUUGAUCUGUUACUAUAGGAAUAUAUGUUGAUGUUACUAUUUGGGAACAGAAAGAAAGAUUUUAUUAUAUGAUGAUAUUUUUCAAAUUUAUAAGAGAUACAAACUGAUAUAGUUUAUAGUAAGUUUGUUCGGUUAUUAUAAAAAUGAUUGUUAAUUUAUGAAAGGUAAAUAAGAUUGGAUGAUUUGCAAUCCAGUAUUAGACAUUGGAAGUAGUUUAUAUGGAAUCUAUACAGUCUACGUAAGGAAUGAAAUUGGGAAAUUUUUUUGAACAAAUAUGUAAAUAUUUGUGAGGCAGUAAAACGAUAUAUUACAUUUAUUAUUUCAAAAGUAGACAAAAUCUGAACUGCAACUUCAAGAAGGAAAAGAAAAUAUUGUACAUGAAAGAAAUAUGUAUAGACAUCCAUAGCUGAGGUAGCGAAAAGGAUUAAAUAUUUCUGGAUUUUUUAGGAGAAGUUUCAUAAUGGUCAAGCGUAGGGGCCGGACUACUGCAAUCUUGAAUAGAAGGUUCGAAAAUAUUGAUCACUGUCAGAGGAGAAUCGGGAUGAAGUAAAUUGAAAGGUCCAACUCUGAUUUCGAAGUCCUGUUUCUUACCGAUAAUGGAGGAGAGGAUUUCUUGAAUCAAAUUUUCACCAUUACCCUAAAAAAAAAAUAUUCAUCUGUUAUAUUAAAAAUACUUUUUAAAACAAUUCUGAAGUGCUAUUGCAUAGAGAAGAAGAUAUGAGAAAUUCUAAAAUGUAAACCUGAAAACUGAAUCCAAGCAUAUCCUGAAAAGAUUUCUGAAGAAUAUCUGCAGCUUGGGCAUCGAAAGCGGUGAUGUCUUUGACAGUUGUAUCAUCUCGAAUUUGGAAUUGAAUUCUAUAUCUAUAGUAUAGAAUAUCUAUUUAGCAGAUAUAAUAGAACAUGAAAGAAGGUUAUUACAUAAUAUGAUGAGAAUUGUACAAAUACCUGAGUCGAGGUUCAACAACUUUUUCUUGGCAGUUAUAACACCAUGAAUCUUUCGAUAUUCCUUUCGGACAUUUGUUGCAAGAGUUAUAGUAGAAAUUUUGAUCGUCGUAGACAUGAACAAUUGUGGCUUCGCAAAAACAGGUAAAAGGCUGAAGCCAGUAACAGUUAAUAAUAAUAAGAUAUCUAAAAAAAAAAAUGUUUUGUUAUUACAAUAACAGGUAGUUCCAAAACAAAUACCUGUGUAGCCUGCUGAAUCAUGUCCAUAAUAUCAAUUAGUUUUUUAUUAUUUGCUUCAUUAGUUCUUCUUCCAUGAGGUAUAGCAUGACUAAUGAUAAGAAUAAAAUAUAGAUUAACAAAUAAACAAAAAAUAUUUUAGGAUAUGAAGAAUUUAAAAUAUGAACCUAUUCCUCAGAAUUGUUGCUUCCGGAAGAUCCAUGUCAACAUAUAUUUUCGAAGCAAAACUUGCGUGCAAACAAAGCAGGUCUGAAGAAAAUAAUGUAAUAUAUAUUAAGGAAAAUAUAAUAUGUAUGUGAUUGCAAAAUUGGAAGUAACUGUAAACAUACUGUUAUAUUUUCGGACAAUAGUGGAAGUGACAACAACUGUUUGCUGAUUGGAGGACAAUUUAUCAAAUAAGGUCAGCUGAUGAAAAGUAUCUCCCCAGAAAGAUAUUUUUAUUCCAUCACCACUGUAAGAAAAACAAAUUUUAGAAAUCAAAGUUUGUCAUGAGAAGUCCUAUCUGUUCUGUGUUAGUAUUGCUCAUUUGUAUACCUUUCAUUCGUAAGAUAAAGAUCACGUUUUGUAGUAUCCCCUCUUUUGGUAUUGAUAAUAACAGAAUCCUCAAUUUUGUCAAAUAAUCCAAUGACAUCUGCAUGUAAUAUAUAGUAAAAAAUAUAAAAAUUGGAGAAAAGUAAAUUUAAUAUAUUGAAUAUAUAAUAGGAGACUAUGAUAUUUGAAAAGUACCAGUUAAAGGAUCUGUUCGGUCGAUUUUGUAUAUCAUGUUCGGGAAAGUUGUAAAAGUGAAACUGGGCUGAGGAAAUAACACAGAUUCAUUGAUAGAGGUCAAAUUGGAAUUUGUUUUGAACCUGAUUUUGUAAGGAUUGGUCAAAGGACAGAAAGAUCCAUUCUUUUUUUCUACAAUAAAAUUUUCUAAACUGAUAAUAUUGUUUUCUUGAAGAACAUGUUCGAAAGUUGGAAUAUCUUCAGCUAAUACAGACGCAUGUAUUUGAGCACCCUGUUAAAAUCAAUAUCAUUAAAUAAAACAUAUAUAAAAUGGGAACAUAUAUAAAAUGAAAAUAUUGAUACAAAUAACAAACCAUUUCAUCCAUAAAGAUGGAAUCCAAACCAAAGACUUUUUUUGUUCCCAGUUUUGGAACGCUCCACACUCUUUGAACAAAUACUCUAAUUUUACCAGUAGGUUGUCCUGGAUGAAGAAGGUUGAUCAUUGUGUAGUCGGUUUCCAUUUGGCGAUAGUUGAUCAGAGCAGGGAAAUAAAGUUGAAGAUUUUGGAGAAUAAUAUUUGGAAAUGGUAGUAGAGAUAUUUAUAAGGAAUGGGCUGUGGAUAUGUAUGGAAAUCAUUGCUGACUAAGAACCACGUGUUGAAGAUGUAGUAUGUGUUUUUAUUAUGUAUGAAUCUAUAUCAAAUUUAGUGGCAGAUAUAGAAAUAUGAUGAAAAAAGGAAAGUUUCAGAACGAUUGGAACUAAUGAAGAUGAUAAUCUGUCAAAAAUAAUAGCAAUGAAUAAUUCAAAAUCAACGAUUCAUAAGUAUUGUUGGAAAUUGUACACAAUUGUGUUGGGAUUAGGAAGAGAUAACAUUGUUUUAUCGUCACAAGCAGUGGAUUUGUAUCAACAAAAUUAAUAAGAAAUGAAUAUGUACUAAGGAAAAAGUAAUCAGAAGGAGAAGGUAAAUUGGAGCAGAUCAUAAUCAGAGCAAUUGAUUUAAUAAAAAUAAAAUAACAGCUAUGAAGAUUGUAUGUCGAGAAUGUAAAUUAUGUAUGGGUAACAAAAGGGUUGUCCAUAAGUAUUGAGAUAAUAGUGACAUUGGAAAUUUUCUACAAAUAUGGUUGGAUUAGGAGGAGAUAAUAUUGUCCUACCCCUUCCAAAAAUGGGUAUGCAUAUAUUUGCAGAAGAAGGAAUUGUACAAAAGAAGUAAAUGGAUGCAGAUCAUGUCGAGAACUAUGAUAUAGUAAUAUAAGCAAAGAAGACAAAUUUGAGUGUAUAUAAGAAAUUGAAGCUAUAGAUAUUCUAAAUUGAUGAAAGAACAUCUUUGAUAUUUUGGGAAUACUGUAACAGUAUAAUUCAGUGAUAAUAUUUCUGAAUAUGAACAUAUAAUUGUAGUUGUCUAAAAAAAGUGAGGAUAGUAUAUCCCAAAACGUAGAAAUAUAUUUGCAAAAAAGGAUAGGAAAUUGUUGACAUUUACAAAUAUGAUGGUUCAGAUGAAAUUGUAGGUAUACUCUUUCCCAGUAUUUCUUAUACGUAGCUGAUAACUCUGUUGCUCCGUAUUUGGUUUUAUUUAGUCGCAUCCAUAUCUGUUAGUAAAUAUAUAGAUGUCAUUCAGAUAGAAGCAAUAGAAAAAAUAAUGUUACAAUUAAGAAGAAAGUUAUUUUUAAAAAAGCGGAAAUAUAAAUUUGAAAAGAUGUUUCUAAAAAUAUGGAAGCAGUUUUAACAAUUGCGGAUCUGAUGGAAUAUGUUGGAAGAAAACAGUUCUAACAAAUGGAAGAAAACACUUAUAAAUAUGAUGGAAUAUUUUUGAAAUUUGGAUAGAUAUACCUGGAGAAGAGUUUGUUGAAGAAAAAUAUGCGGAAAAUACCGGAAGCUGCGAGAAAACAGAAAAAAUCAGUAAAAUACGUUCCAAAAACCAAUAAUAUUGUAUAACUAUUCUGAGGGAAAAUAAAGGAAUACAUGUAUAGGAAAUAAACAUAACUAUUGGAAUACCUAUAAUAAGACCUCAGGAUACACAAUGUUUGUAGUGCAAUUGGUCGAUGUUGAAGGAAGAAUGAUGAAAAUAUUCGCAGCUGAUGUACAUCUUGAUAAAGCUACAUAUAACUGACCAUGACUAAAAAUGGGAACCUGCAAAUCAAUGCCUACAAAAUGAACCGAUUGUCCUUGUGAUUUAUUGAUAGUCAUAGCGAAAGCCAACCGUACAGGAAAUUGACGUCUUGACAUUGGAAUGGGCAAUUCUGCUGAUGGAGACAGAGUAAUUCUUGGAAUAAAAACGGGCUGAUUUGCUUUUGGUCCAGUUAAAAUUCUUGCCUCAAUAACUUUGGUAGCAAAUUUUUCAACUAUAAGCCUGGUUCCAUUACAAAGACCAUCCUUUGGAGCAAUAUUUCUUAAUAACAUAAUAGGGGAACCAACUUUUAACCUCAGUCUGAAAGGAGGUAAACUCGAAGGGUCCAAAGAAUUUAAUGUGUCAGUUGUAUAAGACAGAAUUUCAUGGGGCAAAUCACCCUCUCGUUCAAUUGCUUUAUCCGCAGCUAAAUAAUCAACAUAAUUUCCAGGGAAUAUUUCCAAAGCCAUACUAUUAAUAUGUUUGACAUCAUCAUUUCGCGGAGCCAAAAUGGUUCGAUCUUGAAGAAACAAAGGAGUGGCAGUUCCUUCAACAUGAAGAUCUGGAUAAACUGCAGAUAACAAAUCAUGUGCAUUGCUACAUUGCUGAAUGCUUUCAGGCAAUAUCAAAUUUUCAUCUGGAAAUGUUCCAACCUUGAUUGAAAACAUCAUAAGAAAACGGAUAUAGUAAUAACAAAUUUAUUAUAGAAAUAUUAUAUUAUGAAAGAAAAAAUUAUUGAUAACUACAUGAGCAUACCUUGGCCAAAAAAGCGGCGAAAACCAAACUCUGAGGAUCAUCCAUAUGCAGACGCAUAUUAUGAAUCAAAUGCAAAAUAUUGACAUGUUUCCAAAGAUAUGAUCUACUAACAGAUGCAUUAACCACCUCUUCUCGAACACCUUUAGGAAUUACAGGUAGAGUUUGACGAAAAUCUCCACCCAAAACAACAGUUAUCCCUCCAAAUGGCUCUGUAUUACCUUGAAUAUCUUGCAAGCUUUUAUCAACAGCUUCAAUACAAUAUCUAUGUUGCGCAGGGAGUUCAUCCCAAAUAAUCAAAUCUGCUUUCUGAAAAAGUUCAGCAUGUAUGGAUUGUUUUGUGAAUCCACAAACACUGUUUUCCAUAAUAUCAAGAGGUAAUUUGAAAGUGGAAUGAGCUGUUCGGCCUCCUGAUAAUAACAAUGAAGCUAUCCCCGAAGACGCUACCAAUAUAGCAAUAUGACCAUUUUCUCUACAUGAAGCUGUGAUUGUAUUAUAAGUAAACGUUUUCCCAGUUCCAGCUGGGCCAUCCAAGAAAAAUAGUUUGCCCUCAUUAUUAUUGACCGAAGCAGUUACAACAUUAUACAUCUCACGUUGUUCAUAGUUCAAAUCAUUAAUUCGUUGAGAUAUUUCUUGGGUCGAAAACAAAAAAUUGAACUGAAUCUGCUCUAAUAUCAAUCGGUUCCCAAAAUCAACAGACCAAUUUGUUAAAGGCAGAAGCAUCGGAGGGAAAUCCAACAAAUUUUUUCCUGAUUCCAAUAAAAGUUUAUUAAGUAAAAACAAACCGUAAUCUUUAAUUUGUUCAUCAGUAGCUACCUCAAUUUGGAAAAUCCUACGAAGCUGAUAUGGAAGAUCAUCACAGAUUUGCAAAGCGAAAUCAUUCCAUAACCGAUCUGGGUGAAGAGGAGAACAUUCAGUCAAAAUAAUAGCAAAUAAUCUUCGAAGCUGGUAACCAGUUCGCAUGAUGGAAGCUUCUUGUAGACAUAUUUCAUAUUCCCCAUCAUCCUGUAGUAUUCCUCGAGCAAUACAUGCAUCUUUAUAUGUAUCAUAUGUUAUAUCUUCAACCUGGUACAAAGAGUCAAAAGAUGAAGCACCAGCAACAACAGAUAACAGUAAUCGAAGGUAAAAACGUUCCCCUUCAUUAGGUUUAGCCAUAAACAUUCGCCCAAUUGCAAAUCCCUGUUGUCUUCGUUCCCAUCUAUUAUUGUCCUUUUCUUUUUUCCACACAAAAUGUUGGGGAAAAUCAGGGUAGACAAAUUUUUCAGCAUCUGGAAAAGUUCUGUAAUAAUUAAAAUAUGCUGUUAAUUUUGAUUUCUGAUUCAAUGCUCUAUUCUGAAUUGUUUCUGCUGUAUCAUUUUUGUUAAAUGAAACUUGGUGCAUUCCAUUCAGAUGGAGUGGAAGUCGUUCAACAUGUGGGCUUUCUUUAUGCAUAGCAUGUUCAAACAAAUGCCAGGCAGCUUCAACAGGGCCAAUAUACCUUGCAAGAAAUAUAAAUAUUAAUAUUCCAUGAAAAAUCAGAAUUUGCAUCAGCAAACCAAACAUAAUAUUGAUGAACUUAGUUCCUUCUUUUCUAUAGGAAUGUACAGCAACAAAACAUAAUAUUGAACAAAAAAGAAUGAAUACCUUGAAUCAAUAUAUUGUUGAAUUUCAUCAGGAGAUCCUUCUAAUACUAAUGUUGUCAUGUCAUAUCCUUUAUAAAUGUAUUUAUGAAUAUAUUUAACAGCUCGAACAGAUGCACAAACCUCAACAUUAAUAUGACAAUCAAACAUUGCUGACAAAUAAGGAUUGUAUGGUACGACAUCUCUAUUGUCAACCUCAUGGCCUCUAACCAUAUACACUUGUCCUGAAUUACUUCGUCGGUAAAUUGGAUAACCAUCUUUAUCCAUAAGUGUUGUGAUGACAAAAUCUUUAGGGAAAUGAGAUUUGCAAACAAAACGGCCAUGGUUCAAUACCAUACAGCAACAGUCAGGAUUUCGAGCACCACAUGGUCCAUGAAUCAUACAUGUACUAACUGUUGCAAAAAAAUCUGGAUUUGUAACUGGAUCUGGGAAUUCUGCACAAACUAUUUUGUCUACUUGAGUCGGAGUUCGGAUCUUAUCUUCUCGGUGCAGAAAUAUCAAGGCAUGCAUGUGCGGUAAACCCCGUUUCUGAAAUUCAAUUGUGUACACAUAUGCUGCAACCUUCCCUAAAACUCCUCUGUCGAUAAUUUCUUUCAUAAUUGCCUUCCUCUUCAAUUCAAAAACACGCGCAACCAAGUCAGGCCUAUCUAAAGCACUUUGGAAAUGUUUUAACUCAUUUCUAAUUUCAGGCCAGUUAGGAUUUGCAGUAGCAGUAAGAAAAAUAUCUGGAUGAUGAUUAUAUCUUGUAAUAGCCAUUGAGUCCUGAUAAAUCUCAUACAUAUUCCGAGGACUACCAGGAUGCGAUGAUGGAAGAAUAAAGCGUUUACCAACCUGGUCAGCAGGCAAACCCAUACCGAUACUAUCUGUGAGGCCCUUAUAACAAUCGGAGCGAAGCUGAUCCUGAUUAUUACGCAAAUAUUGUAAUCGAUUUUGUUCAUAAGCAGCCCAUGCAUCAACCACAAAUUCUUGGAAAAGAGGUCCCCCUCGCAGAAUAGCUGAAUAUUCACUUGAUCUUUCAAACAAACGGUACGCAUAAUAUUCCAACUGAGUCAAACGCUUAGUAGUUGGGCCGUCGUUGCGAACAUCCCACUGCUUCAUAUUAGGAUGCCAACCCAAUUCUCCAUGCGGAAAGAAAAGUACAUAAUGAGAAGGCCAAUAAGCAGGAUGACAUUCGCUAAUACGAUAUAAAGGUCCGUUCCUCAAACGCAUAAUAAUGUCGCGGGUUGUAUGUGAAACAUUUCCAUUAGUAGGUAAAACAACAGCGAUUUCACUAAUUGAUGGGAGAUUGUAACGCCUUGAAUCAGUGCCUGGAGUGUAAUGAAGCGAAACCGGAACCUCAUUAUUCUGGAAUGCAUUCUGAGAAAGAAUUUCAUAGGCGUGUUUAUAUAGUCCACAUAAUUCAUUACUUUCCAAGAGAACAGCAUUUAUAAUGCCCAGCACAUCCGAUCGAAGAUGAGGAUUCCUAUGUUCUCGAUAUUCAAGUGCGGUAUUUGAGUCAUAAAUAUAUAGCUGAGCAUAGCUAGGUUCAAUUCCAGGAUCCGGUAGCAAAGUGCCAAUCCUUUAUAAAAAGUACAAAAUAUAUAAGCAAAUCUAUAUAUAUUAAUAAUAUAGAAAGUCUGAAAAUGGGAAAUAAGAAGGAGUUUAAGACCAACCUGUGGUGUAAUUCUCCAUGAAUAGUAAAUGAUGUAGGGCCAUAUCCAUUAAGAAUACGAUCAUCCAUAGUUACGCCUAAACUUGUCAGCGCAUUACAUGCAUUAUAAGAACGCAUAUUCUUACGAAAAGAUCUUGCCAUUGAAGUUGAUCCUCAUAUAAAGAAUAAAGCGCUGAAGGUAAAGGAGCAAGCAAGGGUAAUCUGAUUUUACCCUGUAGACAACACAUUCCAAAUAAAGACGUGACAGCAGUAGAAUUUGAUAAGCGUUCGUCUCUCCAGUGAAGGGCCAAACAGGAAUCACAAAUCACAUUCAUUCGACCAAGAAAAUGACGACGAGGAGGUACAGGAGAAAUAAAAUCAGAUGGAUCGGGUAUUCUAUGUUCAUCUAUAUAUUCAGGGAAUACAUCUUCAAGCAUAUUGACCAUAUCUGCAUUGAAACUAACAUUACAACGGACAUAAGAAAAAAAAAAAAAAAAAAGGAGGUAUAGAAAAUAUGAAUCACAUACUGCAAAAACAACAUCAUACAACAUAAGUACCUUUGAUCAAUAGUUGGUGAAGAUAGAAGACGCUGUACAUCCAUCGAAGGAAUCCCUAGCAACGUAGACGAAGAUGAGCUUCCCACCUCGUAUGUUUGAUAACAUGUAUUCAUUGGUGGCAAGUUGUCAUUGACAUUAGGAUUCGAGCUGAAUAAAAAGAAUAAAAAUAAAAAAAUAUGAACAACCAAAAUCUCCUUACGAAAAAAAAUAUAUUAAUAAUAACAAUAUUGAAGAAGGUAAAUGAAAAAAUAUACGUACCCACAAGUGAUUGGCACAGAUGCCAAUCUGUUCAUAGCAGCAGAUUUGAUCGGUGAAGAUAUGGGCAAAUCCAUUACUGUUGAUUCCAAACUAUCCAAUCUGGGGAAAUGAAAACUCAAAAAAUGAAAAAUGGAGAUGGCCAAGAACAAUUGGACAUUCCAAAAGGAGCAAAGUCAUUACAAUUCUCAAGAUCAAAACACAGAAAAAUAUAAUGAAAGUCGUAUGUAUACCCGACAACUUUUGGGGCAUGGGGAGAUGACAAUAUUGGACACUGGUUAAGGUAUUGGUAUUUCAAAGCAGUUUGGGAAACCAACUUCUCCCUGGAGCGUCGGGCCUUCUGCGCUGCUGAUCUCGGACUAAGUGACUGAAGCAUUAAACGCUUACUCAUUUGAUUGGAGGCAGGCAAAUCAGGCUGGGAAAAAGCAGCAAAUAUGUAUGGUAAGACAUUGAUGAAGAUAGAAGACGUUGUACAUCCAUCGAAGGAAUCCCUAGCAACGUAGACGAAGAUGAGCUUCCCACCUCAUAUGGUUGAUAACAUGUAUUCAUUGGCAGCAAGUUGUUAUCUGUAUUAGGAUUCGAGCUGAAUAAAAAGAAUAAAAAAAAAAAAAUAUGAACAACCAAAAUCUCGUUACCAAAAAAAAUAUAUAUUAAUAAUAACAAUACUGAAGAAGAUAAAUAAAAAAGUAUACGUACCCACAAAUGAUUGGCGCAGAUGCCAAUGUACAACAAUCAAUUUCAUUGUUCGCAGCAGCAGAUUUGAUCGGUGAAGAUAUGGGCAAAUCCAUUACUGUUGAUUCCAAACUAUCCAAUCUGAGGAAAUGAAAACUCAAAAAUGAAAACUCAAAAAUGAAAAAUGGGGAAAAAAAAAAGGGCGAAAUACAGAAUCCAAAAGGAGCAAAGUCAUUACAAUUCAAAAGAUCAAAACACAGGAAAAAAGAAUGAAAGUCGUAUGUAUACCCGACAAUUUUUGGGGCACGGGGAGAUGACAAUACUGGACACAGGUUAGGAUAUUGGUAUUUUAAAGCAGUUUGGGAAAGCAACUUCUCCCUGGAGCGUCGGGCCUUCUGCGCUGCUGAUCUCGGACUAAGUGACUGAAGUAUUAAACGCUUACUCAUUUGAUUGGAAGCAGACAAAUCAGGCUGGGAAGAAGCAGCAAUUAUAUAUGGUAAAACAAAACAAUUCGAAACAAUGCAAACAAAAAAAAAAAAAAAAUUGUCGAUACCAAACCUCACCCACUACAGAUAUGACGUCCGAGAUAAGCACAUCCUUCAAAGGCAGACCAACCAAGCUGGAGAGGCAGGAAAUCCAAAAUAAGAACAAAACAUAUGUCAACCAGAAAGGGUGCAGAUUCCCUACAACCAAAAGAAAAAAAAAGCAAAAGAUCCCAUUAAAAAAAAAAAAACACCAGAAUAUCCAGUAAUCGGUGGGGCACAUGGUGGCAACGAUGCAGGGACAACCGAUACAGCUCGCAACACCUCUGCAGAAAUAGAAAUGGGUUGGCCUAUUUCAAACCACCCAAUCUGAAGAAAUCCAAGAUCCCAAAUAAGGAAAAACGCGAAAUUUAGGUCGAAAAAACUGCAGGGUCAAUACCCGAAAUACCGAGAACAGAAACGACGGGAAAAGAACUGUAGGUAUAUACUUGACAGUAGAUGGGGUACAGUUGAGUAUUUGGUUGGAAGAAUGCAGACCGAAAGGGACAAAAACAGCCAAUGCAUGAGGACGAACAAAACAGACUGACACAAAGCGUAAGGAGAAAUUUAAAAUAGAGGGCAUCAAACCUUACACUGUACAGAUGCAAUUACAGAAAUAACUAAAUCCUUCAAAUCCGGACCACCCAAUCUGAGAAGGCAAGAAUCCCAAAAUAAAAACAAAGCAAAGGGAUACCAAAUAUGAACAUAGAUAUACCUGCUAGUGGUUGAGCGACAGCUGGAUAAUGUAUGCGGGGCCAAUGUUUGCUGGACUCGUCGGGACCUGAGCAUUGCUGACCCAUGAGAAUGUGGUGAAGGCAUCAUCACACGAUGGGCCAGUUGGUUGGAAGAAUGCAGACCAACCUGGACAUGAACACGGAAUGUAUAUGAUAAAAUAAAAUAGAGCGACACAAACCGUCAAUAUUAAAACAAAUGGAUGACAGCAAACCUGACAUCCUACAGUGACAGGGCCACUGGCAUCGACAUUCCCUGAAAUCGCUCCGCUGGACCUAAAGAGGGAAAAACUCCAGACUAAAUAUAGAAUGGGAAAAAAAAAAUAAAAAAAAACCAGGGAAAAAGCGCCCACCGAACAGGGCAUGGCAAUGCCUCCAAAUCAGAGGCAUUGAUGGUCGACAAGGACAACUCAGCAGCCGACGGCGAAUGAUGGCCAAGAACAAUUGGACGACGAAAUAGAUUAUUUCGAACGGGGCCAAUACUUUGCACGCCUGGAAUACCAGAACCAACCUGGACACAUAAAAAGCUGGUUAUAAAAUAAAAACAAAUCAAUCAUCAGAGCGAGAACGCGUCAGAUAUGCGAACCUGCUUUCGCUGAAUCGGCGAUCGCAUGAUAACAAUCACCAAAAUGGAAACAAAUGGGAAACUCUACCUGGAAUGAAUAAUAACCAAUAUAUGUGGAACAAACCAUCUGAUCAGCUACAAACCAAGGGCAUGACAAAAUGGCCGGUAAACUAUCCCAACAACUGAACAUAUUAAGAAGGAGAAAACAACUAACCUUUAUAGCAAAGAAGAACACCAAAAACCAGGAAAACAGAGCGACAAACUAAACCAAUCAAAGUGAGAAGAGAAAAAAAAAAAUAGAUUAAUAUGAUUUUUCCCACAAAUACUUGUAAACCAGGAAUCACAAAUAGAUAAAGAAAGCAACAAUGAAUAUACCAAUGGAUAUAAAAAUAACCAAAUAUUUGUAAACCAGGAAUUACAAAUAAAAUCUCCUAGGAGAAAAAUAUUUGUAAAAGCCAAAUUACAAACAAACAAAUAUUCAACCAAACCUAUUUAACCAAACCUAAAACAGAAUAUGAUGAGGAAUUUCCAAAAGGGAAGAAGCAAAGCCCGAUGAAGAUACGGAAAGCGGAAGAACGACGAAGGUCGGUUCAGAAAAGAAGUGGGUGGCAUCAAAACAAAGGAGAAAAGAAGAUAGAAACAGAACACCAAAAAAGGCGGUAGUGACCGGAAGAAAAAAUAAACAUCCGGUCUCCGUCUCUCAUAGCCGUUUGAUCGAAUAAUAAAAUAAGUCCGGAUCGCUGGCAAGAUCGGUUGUAAGUUCGGAUCGCUGGCAAGGUCGGUCGUUCUAAUAUUUGAAUAUCUGAAUGAGUGGGACCAUACUGAAAGUUAAAUCCGGACCGUCGAUUCGGAUCGCUCGAUCCUGACCGCUACUUGUCUCUUCUGGGAAAACCUUUUCCAACGUCAGGGGGACCACGCCAAAAGUUAAGUCCGGACCGUAGGAUCGUCAAGCCAUGCCAGCGCAACAGAUCGCGACCCUUAUUUGUCUGUUGGUGGAACCCAGGGCCAGGUACACAAAUGAUCUGGAACAUCGAUUCGUACCGCUCGUUCCUGACCGCUGUUGGUAUUUCCUGGGAACACCUUUUCCAACGUCCGAUGUCUUUCCCAAUCCUCGAGAUGUUCAAAUCUGAAUGAGUGGGACCAUACUGAAAGUUAAAUCCGGACCGUCGAUUCGGAUCGCUCGAUCCUGACCGCUACUUGUCUCUUCUGGGAACACCUUUUCCAACGUGAGGGGGACCACGCCGAAAGUUAAGUCCGGACCGUAGGAUCGUCAGUCCAUGCCAGCGCGACAGAUCGUGACCCUUAUUUGUCUUUCGGUGGAGCCCAGGGCCGGGUACACAAAUGAUCUGGAACGUCGAUUCGUACCGCUCGAUCCUGACCUCUGUUGGUCUUUCCUGGGAACACCUUUUCCAACGUCCGAUGUCUUUCCCAAUCCUCGAGAUGUUCAAUCGUUGUAUUAUAGAUAUAGAUAUAUACAAACAAUUGUUUAUAUUAUAAUUGAGAGAGUAUGGAAAAUUUACAAGUAAAGAAAAGAAUUACAAGUAUUUAUAGGGGAGAAACAGAAAACAACACAACAACAACAAGUGUAGUGAAUUAUCUUCCUUGGGAGACAAUAUUUGAAAUUCUGUUGAGACUUCCCAUACAAUCACUGAUUGAAUGCAAGUUAGUUUUGUUCAAGGACCCUCGAUUCAUUGACUUGCACCUUAGCCAAUCUAUAGCUCGACAUUAUAUGUACUAUUGACCUGGAGUGAGGAUACUAAACCUAUACAUUCAAUCUAUUCUUUUGUUGAAGAAGAAGAAUACAAGUGGAAGGCUUCCCUAUUUGACGUGGAGCUGGGGUUGGGGCUGACACUGACAAAUAAUUUUUCUCAUUUUUACAUUGCUGCUUCUUGCAAUGGCUUGCUCUGCAUGUCUCCGUGUGGUGAUUUCCUGGAUCCACUUUUCAUAUGCAAUUUAUUUACACGAGAAUAUGUGAAGCUGCCAGUUACUACGCAACCAAUCACUGUUAUCCAUUUGAUCACAGGAGAAGAAAUUGUUUUGUCAAAAACAGAUCCCCUUUUUGAUCCAUACUAUCAAGAAAUUGGCUUUGGAUAUGAACAUUGUUUAUAAAUUCAAUUUUUUAUUUGUUUUAUUUCCCAUGCUUGUUAGAGAAUGCAACAAGCUGAAUGGUCAUGUAAGCCAAUAAGGCCGGAAUUGCUGCUGUUGAGAGGGCAAUGUUGGUCUUGCUAUUAACAUAUUUUUUCAGAGAGAGAGAGAGAGAGAUCUAUUAAACAUCAUAAAAGUCGGUGGCCAUGCUUGUGGUGUGUCGCUCAUGUUGAAAAUCCUUUGAUAUUGCUUGGACUCUGAAAAACGUGACCAACAAGUCCAAUAAGAUUGAAACAAGCAGAGUACUUUGAAGUUUGAACGAAGAGGAGAAAGGGAUUGCGAUUCUGCAAAAGGUCUGAAAAUUUCCUCCUAUGAUCAAAGAUUACAUUUACUCUAUUAUUAACCUUUUGUUUCUCAAGAGAUAAAUGUAUAUACCUAUGUAUUCGAGCUCUCUCGAGCUCACUUAAGCGACCACUUUGAACACAAUUUAUACACCUUCGACGUCAAACGAGGUGAACACCUUUUUACUCGACUUCACCUCGAGCUCACUAAAACCUUCAUGAUCCAACUUAGAUUCUUUAUUCAUUCGUCGUCAAACGACGUGAACACCCUUUUGCUCGAGCUCACUCGAGCUGGGGCUUAUCUUGCUCGACCUCACUCCGAGCUCACCCGACGUGGAACUACUUUUAUUCGACCUACAUCGUCCUUAUGCAAACACUAUACAUUUUGAUCCUCUUCAGUUACAAUAUAUUUUCAGAUCCACAAUAUCCGCCCAUUAAUUGACCACACCGUUGGGCAAUUAAUGAGCUAUCCGUUGUCCCAAUCACCUAUAUAUAUGAACUACGUAGGCUUGAUUCUGGGACUUGGUCAUUCUCAGAUACGUAGGCAACUAUCUAAAUCAGAUAGCUCAGCCAUUUCCACAACUUCAUCUCCUUCCCCUUCUAAAUUCCGAUCAUCUUCUCCGACUUGUUCUAAAACCAAAUUCACUUACAUUUACAUUUACAAUAGAUUUCUCUCUGUUGGUGGGUAAGUGGUUUAGGGCUUAGGGUAUUGGGGUUUGGUGUUUAUUCAGUUUGAAUGAUUAUCUAGUUGUUUAUCAAAAGAUUAAUUCAAAAUAUUAUCAAAAACAUGUAUUUGAUCUUAACUACUAGAACCAGUGAAUGGUGUAUACAACAGGAAAUGUAUCAAUUUCAACCCAAGGCGACAAUGUACUUGCAGUAUUUUGAGUGAGUGGGGGUUAAUUAUGUCAGAAUGUAACACAUCAACAAUUUUCUGUUUUUUAUUUCUUAGUUGAAAAUCAAAACAUACCUGUUUUUUUUUUUGCUGAAGAUAGAUUUUUUUUGCAUACAAAUAGGGAUUUUUAUUAAAGAUAUAAAAGAAUGAUACAAUAGCAAAAAGAAAAAAUUACAACCAUGUCCCAAUAAUUACUCAUCAAAGCGAUAGUAAAUACUGUUUGGACACUCUAUAUUCUUGAUAAAAUUAGGCUUCUGUGUAGUCCAUAUAGAAUGACCUACACUCAUUUGAGCUCCCUUUUUUGAUGCUGCAUCUGCUCCUAUAUUAGCCUCCCUAUAUGUGUGGGUGAGCCUCCGUUGAAACUUUGCAGUAGCUCUGAACCAUCUUGCUGCUACCUUCCAUGGAAUCUUGCCAGAGUUGACUGAGUCCACCAAGGCCUUAGAGUCUGCUUCAAACCAAAUCUGUGUCCAUCCCUGUGUGCAAGCUACCUCUGCAGCAGCGACCAGAGCUUGACACUCAGCUUCAAAACUAGUCGUGACACUCAGCGACCAGAGCUUGACCAGAGCUGAAGAUAGAUAUGAAUAUAUUAACUAACCGAUCGUUCCGUAGAUACACUCAUACACCAAGCAUAUCUGCUUGUACAUAACUAGAAAUACAAGUCAGGUGCAAGCCACCAAAGGGAAAUAUUUUCUAAAAGUGUAAUAACCCUAUUAAGUUCUUCAGGGGACAAAGGUCUGUGAUCAGUAUACGUAAGCUGCCAAUGUUCUUGCUCUACAAUGCCUGACACCCAGUUUGCUAAACCAUCAGCUGAUAAAUUCAUCUAAAUUCAACUGUCGUAAAACUUGACAGAAGAUGUUGGAUGUCAUUAAUCACGGGUAACAAAUGGUAAGGAAUAUUACCACCUCCAUGAUUCAAACAUCCAUGCAAAAAAUUUGAAUCUAUUUCCACCUCCAGUUUACUAAAAUUCAGUGCCAACGCAGUUAAAAGACCAAGCUUCAAUAAAAAACUUACCUGAGAAAGCAACGGUGUAUACAUUUUUAGGCGUAAACGAGCUUCUAGGCAUAGGUGAAAAUUUCGAAUAUAUCCAAAUAUCCGACCUUGAAAAAACCGGAAUAUUCCGCGAAUAUCCGGACCCCAAUGUCGGAUAUGGGAGGUUUAACAAAAAUGGUUCUCACGAAAUAUUUCGCGAAUAUUCGUGAAAAAUUCGAAAAAUUAGGAGGUUUUCUGCUAUUGUCAUGUUUUUCUUCUGGUUUCAAUGUAUAAGCUUAUAAUUAAAAGAAAGACAUACAUUGCAAAUUAAACACGCGACAAAUCAUACAAAGAAGCUAAGACGGAACUAUUACACAAGAUAGUUUUACUCAUAGGUGAAAAAAUCGUAAAUAUCGGGCGGAUAUUCACGGAACUUUUAUUUGUUUCUAAUAUAAGAACUAAACACAAACCAUUGUUCAAAAUCUCGAAUUCCUCGAAAUCUCGACAAGUUUAAAACUCGAGAUCUCGUUUGAGAUCUCGUGUGUCUUUGUUGAGAUGAACAAGUUUUAUAAGCAUAUUUCGACACAUAUUUAUAUCUAAUCAAUUUUUCUAAAUUUAAUUUUUAAUAGAUUUCUUCUUGAUUUAAAAAAAUUAUGGGCAAUAACCCAAAUUCAACCAAUUUUUAACUUAAUAAGUCAAUUUUAACAAGAUCUAUAAGUUGAAUUUUACGAAUUUCACAAUUUCAAAUUCAAAUUUUCGUUUCGAUAAUAUUUACGAUUGAUAGCAAUCCAUUAAUUUAACUCCCAAAAAAAAAUUAAAAAAAUUUAUUAUUUUUAAAAAAAAUAUUAUAUAUCUCAAGCAUCUCAACACUAAAAAUAUGAUUUCUCGCGAGAUCUCAUAAUUUCUCGCGAGAUCUCGAAGAUAUCGACAAAGUUGGUAUAGAUAUCAUACCGUUUGAGAUCUCACAAAUAUCUCGUACCGAACACUCCCAUUUCCGAGAUAUCUCGUGAGAUCUCACGAGAUUUUAAACAAUGACACAAACAACCUCAUAACAACUCAACCCAUAGUUUUAUUUUAAUAAUCAAAAUACAAGACAUGCUAACCCCAUAUUGAUAGACGCCCCAAGUCAAACCGAUGAGCUUCGAAUCGCAUACGUGUGGGGACGAACUCAGUACAGUAAUAUUUCCAUGACAUUGUUUGCUCGUACGACCUGAAUUGGUCAAUUGCUCGUACUACUAUGCACAAUUGAACCCCAUUCCAGUAGAAAAUUUCCAAACGUCUAGUGCCUUCUGGAUUGAGAGGUAGACAACCAGUGCUAAUUUGUUUGUUUAGUUUUAACAAAUCCAAGGUUUCAUUAACAAGAAAUAUUCAUAUUGCUAAUCUUUGGACCUUUUUUUGAUAACCUCAUCGAAAGUUCUAGUUUGGUGGGAAUUAAAAAUAAAUGUGUUAAUUUCAGAAUCGUAAAUUUCGUAUUUUGCCGAAUAUUUCGCGAAUAUUCGUAAAAAUCCGAGCGGCAUGGGGAGGUUUAUAUUUCGUUUAUUAUUCGUAUGCCGUACCGCUCCGAAUUCCCAAAAACCGGAAUAUUUCGUGAAUAUCCGCCCGACAUUUUCGAUUUUUUCACCUAUGCUUCUAGUAAAGAAUAGUAAAUCUGCAAGGUAAUUACAUGGGAAAAGCAAUCACUUUGACAACGCGUAUUUCACUCUAGCAUCAAUGAAGAUAUUGGGGACUAUGAAUGCAUAUACUGCAUAUAGAUUCCUCUCAAAUGUACAAAUUAAGACCUUGAAGAUUCUUUCAAGUUGCUUGCAACGAACCAACUUUUAGGUUUUGAGAGAGAGAAGUAGAAAAAGAACAAACAAUGGGAAAAUGUCAAAGAUGCAUCAUGCAUAGAAUAGACUAGCAUUCAAGGCCCGGGCUUUAGGCUAGUAUCUGAAAUGUACUGCACUUACUCAAUUGCCAACAAUGAAUAUAUCUGCCCUUGGAAGUUUGCUGUGACUACAAAAUAUUGAAUGUUCUACUCAUGAGCUCAAACUUUUGUUGUGUAACCCCUUAAUUAUUUUAUUCAAACUUGCAUCUGACAUGGUUUGCUGAAUUUAAAAGUAAAUGAUAGUCUGAAAUUAACAGUAGAAUAAGGUCUACAACUAUUGUUCACAGUUUCACACAUACUGAAGGCACUAUAGAGUGGUCCAGGCAACAAUGUCUUCACCAAAGAUUUGACUGCCAGGUAGUUUGGAGAAUGCAAACAUUGGUCUUGAGCAAAUUUCCCACCUCGCCUCUCCUAAUGGCAAUACCAUGCAAUGUAGGCAGACUGCGUUCUCAAAGCCUGGCGUGGACUAUACACAGUCCUUUCUAUUUUUUUUUAAUAACACAAAGUCCUAAAUUCAACAAAAAUAAUGUCUGUUGCUGAAGGCAUUUGAGUAAGGAGAUCACCUUUUGAUCUCCUUACUAAACUUGCAUUUGUACUAACUAUUCAAGCUAUCAAGCCUGGGCCAAGCUAGUAUGAGAAAUUGAAAAUAAUGUUUAAAUUUUAGUUCGAAUUCUUCAAGGGAAAAAAAUCAGAUAACAAUUGAUAUUUUUCUUUCAUACUAAAUAAAUAAAUAAAAUAGCAAAAUUUCAAAAUAAAAAAUAAGAUCAUAACCAGCAAAAUGUUAAGCACAAAGAAUUUUUUUUUUUAUAAUAAGAACAAAGAGAUUUCAACAAUUCAUACAACUUUUAUUAACCACAAAUAUGGCCCAAAUGGGUAUGUACAAUUUUGAUAUUGAACAUGAGGCUAUAAUGGCUUCUGUAAGAAAUACAUUAGAACAUCAUCACCAAGCUCCAAAAAACCACCGUAUGUUGUAGACUUGUCUCUAUGCUAAACAUGGUGUCUUGGCUUCCAACUGGAUGUUAUCACACAUUUCAGAAGUGCAAACCUCUACUGCCUUAAUUGCCCUCGUAACAAUGAGCAUGACCUGCCCCACACAAAUUGCCGCAUCUGACAUCAAAUUUCAAGGGACUUCCAAAAGUUUCCUUUUUUGCUGUUGAACUUGAUAGCGUGUAGAACCCUAAACUAAGGUUGCAAUUGCUUUCUUUAUCUGAAGUUGAUUAACAACAUACAUAACCUGUCCCACACAAUGAAAUGCAAGAAUGAGCUAAUACCACUAAUCCAAUCCAAGUACCCAAGGAGUUUGAAAAACCAACAAACAAACUUUAUAAAGAUCAAACAAACGACAAAAUAUAGAUAAAUCUAACCUGCAGCAAGCUUUGGAUGAAUCUUCCUCUGGACUUGUUGGCAAAUUGAGUCAUUAUCCGUGGAAGAGGAAAAAGGAAGAGACAGUAGAGAAGAAUGUGAGAAAGUUUAUUUACGUUAGUUGAAUGUGGAAGCUGAGAAGAAUGUGAAACACUUCCCUUGAAAUCCAUACCUGUCAUAGAGUCGAUCCUUCGUACUCUUUACUUUCAUCCCUUGCUCAUGCUGAUGUACCUUACAGGAUAUGUUGAACUGAAUCCUGUCGUGCACCCUGUUGAAAUUUUACUAUGAACUUAGUACAUCUUGUUUUGAAAAUACCAAACUCAAUACCUUCCUUCAGCUCACUGCACUUCUCUAUAUUUAUUGAGACUGUUUUACUGAUUUGUUGACAUCAAAAGCUCUUCCAUUAAACGUAAAUUUGCUCCUAAUUGUCCAUAGAAACCGGAUUGUAGAAUAAGGUAGAAUACACCACAUCUUAUGUUCAAGUUACCUGUUAAAAACAACAAACAUACAGCAAGUAAAACCUAAUCCUCCAAAAGCUUGACAUAAUAUAAAUCAAUUGGUUUUCUCAACAACUUAUCUGCAUGCAAGGUAAAUAGAGUGACGCUAUUUAUUCACAAUAGCACAAUCUAACUUGUAUAAACUUGCACAAUUUUUUUUGCUUAAAAAAAC
This 51681-nucleotide long non-coding RNA is filed under the name Aquilegia coerulea. RNAcentral's name for it is "long non-coding RNA (ACOE_LNC002108)". The record is from RNAcentral. Lineage: Eukaryota; Viridiplantae; Streptophyta; Magnoliopsida; Ranunculales; Ranunculaceae.